RNAcentral lists this long non-coding RNA (81998 nucleotides) under Lactuca sativa (garden lettuce). Its description in RNAcentral is "long non-coding RNA (LSAT_LNC002388)". Lineage: Eukaryota; Viridiplantae; Streptophyta; Magnoliopsida; Asterales; Asteraceae. The record is from RNAcentral.
ACUAACAUCAAAUUCCCAAGUUCAUUAGGCAUGAGACCAGAAAAAUUAUUCUUCUAUAGGUACAUACACUGUAGGUUACUGAGGUUUUCUAGCGAGGAAGGAAUCGAACCACUUAGUAGAUUUUGGCUCACAUGGAAAUUAGUGAGAGCCUUCAAAUUCCCAAGUUCAAUAGGAAUUGGACCAGAUAAUUUAUUCUGAUCGAGGAACAGAAAUUGUAGGUUGCUCAGCUUUGCAAUUGAUGAAGGAAUAGAAUCAAUAAGUGUAUUGUUGCUUACCAGAAGCCUAGUGAGAGACUUCAAUUUCCCAAGAUCAAUAGGAAUGGGACCAGAGAUAACUUAUUAUGAGCCAGAUUCAGACGAUAUUGGUUGCUCAGGUUUGCUAGUGAUGAAGGAAUGUUGCCACUUACUUGAUUCUUGCUCACCCGAAGAAAAGUGAGAGAUUUUAAAUUCCCAAGUUCAAUAGGAAUGGUACCAAAUAAAUUGUUCUCAUCAAGGUACAAAUGUUGUAGGUUGCUCAAGUUUGCUAGUGAUGAAGGAAUGGUGCCACUAAGCUGAUUCAUGCUCACCUCAAGAAAAGUGAGAGAUUUCAAAUUCCCAAGUUCAAUAGGAAUGGCACCUGAGAGUUGAUUUUGGUACAAAGAAAGGACAAACAAAGAUGUCAAAGCACCCAAUACUGAAGGAAGAAUUGAGCUUGAUAUAUUGUUUGAGGAUAUGUCUAGGAACUCAAGUGUGAUCAUGCUUCCUAUUUCAGGUGGGAUUUCACCAGAAAACUUAUUCUCUGAAAAAUCAAGAUAGACCAGUUUGGACAGGAGUCGGAUGUAGGAUAGGGCCAAAGAACUUGUUUACAGUGAGAUCAAAAUGUGUAAGAUUUUGUAGGAAAAAGAAUGAAAUUUGUUGAAGUGUACCUCGUCUUAGAAAAGAGGGGUAAAACACUUGGAAAUCCUGAGAAUUGUGUAUAACAUUUUCAGAUUCAAGUAUUUGGGUGGUACUCUCAAUCUUUAAUCAGAUAAGACUCAGAAAAUCAGAGAAAUAGAAGAGAUAAUGUUAAAGAUGUUAUGAAGAAGAAGAGUACCAAAACUGAUUUCUAAAAUGAUCAUAUAACGAGAAAAACUUCCGGUCUUAAAACUGUCACAUGACAGUUUUAUGUCCUAAAACUGUCCAAAAACGAUCAUAAACCAACUUAAAUCCGGGUCUAGAAUAUGGAUCACAAAAACGGGUGCAUUUACCGAUAAUCCGGAUUUUUAUGCAUUUUUAAUAGAGCCACAUGACAACUUGACCCAACCACGGACUCUGCCAUUGGAUCCUGCUAGGGGUUGCUGACCCUUAGACCCCGCUCCCAGGGAUACUGCCCCUUAGACCCCACUCCCGGGGACACUGCCCCAGACCCCGUUUGUUCAGGGGCUUCGUCCCUAAAUAGCAGUGCACUUUUAAAAAUGAGGGUUUGGGUAUCAACAAAUUAAUCCUAUUACACUUAAAUAAUAUUAGUGAUGUAAAAUCACCACCACCUCGUAAUCUAGAUGACGUGAGGUUCAACUUCUGAAUGCUCCCAUCAGCAUUGCAAACUCCUCCGAACCAAGAAGUGCAUGGGAUCGAUGCACUGGAAUUCAUAAGGAGGAGAAUCCAUGAAGAGAGUAACAAAUUAUUUGGGAUUUAAAGGCUUUCUUUCCAUUUAAGAAGAUUAUUCCAACGAAGCAGAAGCAGAAUUUGGUGUUGGUGUACGAUAAUGAUUAGUAGAGUUAGAGAGAAAGCUAGUAAGUUUGAAGAAGACAUUAUUUUCUUUUCCAUGUUGUGUUUUAAAAAAUGAGGGUUUGGGUAUCCUACUUUAUACUUGAGCAGCCCUUUUAUCUUGUUUAUUUCAUUUCCUUUUAUUUGAAAAACUAAUUUAUGGCAAUUUCAUAUUUUUCCAGAAGGGGUGUGUUUGAUGUAGAAGCGAAUGUCCUACUUUUCCACAAAGGACUUAUUACAAUUUGAAUUGUAUUCUUCAUGACAGUCUAGCUAUAUAAAGGAAAAGAAAAAUAAAAGAAUGUUACAAAAGAAAUUUAAAAUAGUUGGUUACCAGAAAGACGUAAUGUAAAAUGUCAAUGUUGGAUUUAAUAUUGUAAUAUAUAUAACUUAACUGGAUGAUCAGUUGGACAUAUUUAUUUUUGUUUUGUGAUAAAUUUUAGUACAAGUUUCAUUUGAUUUACUUCAGAAAUAAAUUAUGUGAUACCAAUAGUUAGACGAUUGUGAUAUCCAAAUUGCGUGAAUGUGUCAAUGGAGAUGGGGUCGGAUCGAUGUGGCCUUUUAAGGAAAUCUAAUAAAUGAGUGAUGCUGAUGCAUUCCUUGAACAUUUGAAUGCAAUAACAUUAAGAUAAAUACGAGGAUAAAUGGCCUUGAUUCUUCCACUGAGAAUUUUGAUAAAUCCACUGAAAUCAUAAGUGUCAUGACAAGUAUGUCCUCACUUAAAUUAUAAGUGUAUUUUAAUUUUUUCCGGAAGCUGAUUAUCGUGAGCCAAUUAUACCAUAAAACAUUCCAUGAACAGUUUAUAACUUCCUUUUUUUUUUCUCUUUACUCGUUAUUUAAACCAACAGAUUUAUUUGUGACAUUUCACCCCUCAUUUUAUUACUUACCUUUUUUUUUUCUUCUUUAGUCAUUUUUUCUCUUUGCUCCUUAUUUAAGCCACUGUUAAUUGAUUAAACCAAUCAAACCGAUUAGAUCAAACUAAUAGUCGAUUAAACCAACCAAAUAAUAUCUCUAAUUAUAAUCAAGGAAUUAAUAUAUUUAUAUUGAUAUUUGGAAUAAACAUAAUCAUAGCCGUCAAUAUUAUAGUUUGAUAUUUAGAAUCAAAAGGGUAUCAGAGAUGAUAAACAAUAAUCAUAAUCUUUUUUAUUAAAAAGGGCUGGUGGCGUAAAAAUGAGCAAAAAAGAAAAAAAAAACAAUUAUUAAACGGAUGGGUCAAAUGUAUAAAAAAAUGGUGGCUCAAAUAAGGAGCAAAGUUCCAGGAAAGGUUUUUUUUGGUAUAAUUAGCUUACGAAUCCAAACAAAAAUACUCUACAAAUUUAAAUGGGGGCGUAGUUGUCAUACAUUUGUAAUUUAAGUGGAUUUAUCAAAAUCCUCCGUGGAUGAAUUCAGCGCCCUAAAUAUAAAAAAAAACGUCUAAAACAUUUCAUACUUACUCUGCUUAAAUAAAAUGUUAGUAACAUUUAAGAAAGGGAUACAAUCUCACCAAAACAACCUUUCUUAAAAAAAUAGAAAUCAUUAGGUUUUUAACAAAUAAGUUAAAUUACUAUAUAGGAGAGAGAGAGAGAGAGAGAGAGAGAGAGNNNNNNNNNNNNNNNNNNNNNNNNNAGGAAAGAGGGAGAGAGAGAGAGAGAGAGAGAGAGAGAGAGAGAGUAUUGCAAGAAUGGUCCCUGUGGUUGUCAAUUUCUUACGGUUUCAAUCCAUAAAAACGUUUGGACUUACAUAGCAGUCCAAAAUUGGAUAUUUUUUGUUAAAAAAAGUUUGGACUUGCAUAGUAAUCCAAAACUAGAUAUAUUUUUGUGGUUUUGGUCCUAUCAAACUAGAUUUUUGUAAAUUUGGUCCAUGUGUAAGUAGGAAUGUUACGUUUGUAGAAGAUGUAUUUCCUUUUGGAAAUAGUUAUGAGACAAACAAAGAUUUUGAGAGCACUAGUGUUGUUGAAUCCUUACACAAACUUCAACAAGAUAUGGCUGAUGAGAUGAAUCCAAGUUAUACAAAAAACAAUGGAGAAGAACAUGAAGAUGACACACACAAAACUGUUGAGAACAUAAAUAGUGAUUAUAACAGUGAUCAACCUACCUACACACGAGACAACUACAAACUAGACACCACCACUACCUCGAUCUCAAUAUGCAACAUCUCAACAAAUGAUAUUCACUUCUCGAGUUAGGAAUGCACCAAAACAUCUUAAAGAAUUCCACAAUGAUUUGCCUCCAUCACCGACGCACGCGAAAACGGUGGAAGGUUCAUGCACACAAUAUCCUCUUGCAAAUUUUGUAUCAUAUAUGCACUUUGAAAUUCUCACAAAGCUUCUCUUGCAGCUAUAACUUCUCAUGAUGAAUCUAAAAACUUUUUACAAGCUAUCAAGGAUUCAAAUUGGAGAGAUGCCAUGAGUAAAGAAAUUUGUGCACUUGAAGAAUAUGGCACUUGGAUACUAACGAAGUUGCCACUCGGGAAGAAGGAUAUUGAUUCAAAGUGGGUAUACAAGAUAAAAUACAUACCCAAUGGAGAGAUUGAGCAAUAUAAAGCUCGAUUGGUGGCUAAAGGUUUCACGUAGACGUUGGAUUAGAUGUCUAAGCCCAUAACUAUUAUUGGUAUGUACUUGACCCGAGAGUAGCAUGGUCCAUUUGGGUUGCAUAUCAUCAGGACAAUUUGUUAGGAUGGACUCUUGAGAGAAGGUUAUAUAUGAUUUAUUAAUAUAUUAUAAGUACUAAUAUAUUAAUAUGAAAUCAUAUGGUUUUAAUUAAUAUUGAUCAAGAAUUAAUUUGGAAUUAAUUCAGUGAUCAAAAGAGACUAAUUAAAUCUAUAGGGACUAAUUAUUGUAAUUAGUUAUAUUUAUAUGUGUUGGGCUUAUGAUCCAUGUUGGACCAAGUUUAUGUAUGGAUACAUAAAUAAUUGAGCCACAUGAACCAUAGAUCAUAAAACUCAUGGGUAUGGAUUUGGGUUAUACCCAUGACCCUUAGAAUCCUACAUAUAAAUAUGUACUCCUUUACCCAAAAUCACCACUUCUAAUGUUCUUGGAGUUUAUGGAGUUUUUGGUGCAUGGAGUUUCUCUCUCUAAUGUCCACCUUUGUCCUAGGUGUGUUUUGAUUCCAUUUGAGGCUUCCACACUAUUGGGUCUAAGCUCUUUAAGUCCAAAUACAACAAGGAUUCAAGUUAUAACAGAAGGUAUGUUAUCCUAACUAGUAUUUUAUAUUGUUCAUGUCAAUUGCAUGCUAGUUAUAGGCUUAAUGCUUUGGAAACACUAUUACAUUUAUAAUUAGAGAAAACAUAUAUACAAGGCAUUUAGGGUUGUAUGUGCACCAUAGGAUGUUGUAGUAUAGAAAACCCAACAGAUAGAAGGAAUUAAUUUGCAUGAAACAUUUGCACCGGUUGCAAAGUAGUAACCGUCGAUGUGUUUUUUAUGUGGCAGCCAAAAAGAAAUGGAAGUGCACCAGAUGGAUGUAAAUAAUACCUUCUUGCAAGGAGAUUUAGAUGAAGAUGUGUAUAUGAAGAUACCUCAAGGUUUUGAUAAAAGUGAAGGACGCAUAUGCAAGUUACAAAAGUCUAUCUAUAGAUUACGUCAAGCAUCCAUAAAUAGGUAUCAAAAUUCACAAAGGCCAUCGUUAGGUUUGGUUUUCAACAAUCCAAUGUAGAUCAUUUUAUGUCUGUGCUUCACCUACGUACCAUAUAUAUUAUUGCUCUCAUAUACGUAGAAAAGAUACUCCUAUUAGGUAAUGAUAAUGGGAAGAUAAAUGAAGUAAAAGAGUAUUUGCAAUCUCAUUUCAGGAUCAAGGAUUUGGGUACUCUCAAAUAUUUUCUAGGCAUUGAAGUGGCAAGAUCGGAAGAAGGUUUUGUCUUAAGCUAGCGAAUAUACACCAUCAAUAUUCUCAAAGACAGUGCGACAUAACGGUGUCGACCUUUUAAUUUUCAUUUGGAGCAAAAUUUAUGCCUUCAUCGAGAUGACAAUGGUGAGAAUGUUGAUGCAUCAUAGUACAGUACAAUACAGAAGGUUGGUGGGAAGAUUGUUUUACCUCACCGUUACUCUCCCAGACAUAAUUUUUGCUGUUAAUCAACUCAGUCAAUUUCUAUAUGAGCCGAAAAAAUAUCAUAUGGAUGAUGCCUUUCGCAUCCUUCGAUAUUUAAAAGGUUCACCGAAACAAGGGUUAUUUUUGCCAGCCACCGGUAAUCUCAAUCUUUUAGUAUCAAACUGCUGACAUAUUUACCAAAGAACUUGGUGCAAACCAUUUUCAUUUUCUAUGUAGCAAGUUGGGAGUUCGUUAUCUACACAAUCCAACUUGAGAGGGAGUGUUAAGAUACUUAUCUCAUUUCCUAGUUAUCUUAGGAUUACUUGUUAGCUAAGAUUUAGUUUCCUUAUUCAAGUUUAUCAGUUUACAUCUACAACUCUUUUUCCUUAUAUAUACAAGGGUUGUAAACACUUGAUUCAAUAAUAAUAAUAGAAUUUCCAGUUUAUUGUUUUUCUUCUCUAAAUUUAUUAGAAAGGGAUAAGAAGUAGCAAAUUGUUUCUCUUUCUCGCUAAAACAUGCACCUCAUGUUAACUCUCUCUCUUUUUCUUGAUUGCUUUUAUCUACACCUCCUUGUCAUCCUCAUCAUCUCUAGAGUCUUGUACAUCCUCAUCUUGAUUGCUUUUAUCUACACCUCCUCUUAGAUCAUAUUAUUGUAUAAAUUUAGUUCAUAUUGUCUAUUUCCUAAAGUUUUCUGACUGCAAACAUAUGGGAAGCGACGGUGAUGUCAAUAGGGGAUGGACAAAGAUACAAAGCAGAAGAUUCAAAGAUAAGGUGAGGAAAACAAAGGACCAGGUGACGAUGUUCUUUGCUUCCAAUAUUCUUCGGGCGGAAAAAAAAAGAGCUCUGUGGAAAGCCUUUUCUAAAUAUGGAGAGGCAACAGACAAUUUUAUGGGGGUGAGUUCAAAAAAGAAUGGGGGCAUAUAUGGCUUUGUUCGAUUCAUUGGGGUAGUUGAUCCUAGAAGCUUCGAGGAAGUGAUUAAUGGCACAUUAUUCCUUGGCAGUAAAUUGAUGGUCAAUAUCUCUAGAUUUCCAAGGUGGGAGAUUGAGGCAAGGAAUCCCAGCUCGGGCGGUGGGAACCCCUCUUGUAGAUACGUUGUCGACGUAAGGCUAAGAGAUAAGAGAACCUUUGCAGAAGUGGUGGCUCCGGCGGCACAUCCAAAUCGUCAAAAUUCCUACGGUUAACCACUACCCCCUUCGCCGUCUUUAAUGCAUCUGAACCCAGUUCCUUCUAUGGUGGGAUGGUUACGUAAGUGCACUCUAAUUGGCGAAUCCCUAACCAUAAAUAAUAUAUGUCAACUUCCCUCGCUCCUGAGUAUGUACAAUGACGUCGAUAUAGACAUCAAAUACAUUUGGAGCCUCAAGGUUGCGCUCCACUUCGCUACCUCAAUUACAGCCCGAGGUUUUUUGGAAAAUAAAGACAAAUGGAAAUAGUUCUUUGUUUGGCUUAAAUCAGGGGAAACAACAGAACCGGAGUGUGAUAGGGUUGCAUGGGUCAAAAUCUUUGGCCUUCCCUUAAAACUUUGGGGAGAAGAAAACUGCGCGGCUAUUGUUCAGAAAUACAGAAGGAUCAUCUCGCCCUUUGAUGAGAUUCCUUCACGUGACGAUUAUUCUUGUGUAAAAAUUGGGGUUCUAACCAAAGAAAAAAGAUUGAUAAACGAUGUAGUAAGCAUAAUUUCCCAAGGAGUUAUUAGCAAUAUCUCAAUUGUUGAAGUGGUGAACGAUUGAUUCCCACUUAAGUUCGAACAGCACUGUGAGUCUUACAACCAAGACGAAGAUGUACAAGACUCUAGAGAUGAUGAGGAUGACGAGGUUGAUGGCGUGUCAGACACCUGGAUGAAUAACACUGAUGAUACAGAACUUGAGGAUGGUGAAAUCAUUCUAGAAGGGAAGGAUGUUGUGAUCAGAACAACGAACUGGGCCCUGGCCAGUGACAGCUCCGGCGGAAUACCAAGCGACAUGGAGGUUCUGGGGAACAAAACAUCGGAGAAAGAAACGAUGCAUGGGGAAUACAAUUUGCAGGAAAAAAAAAUACUAAUGUAAUUAAUUUUAAUGGGGAUAACUCAAAAGUUGAUGUGGGGACCCACCUGGGGACUAAUCUGGUGUCUGAUCCAUCUAAUAGUUCCAGGCCUCAAGCUAAUAACGAGCUUAUCGAAUCCCUUGUGGCAAAUGGUUGUUUUGGGCCGUUCCCAUUCUGGUAUGGUCAUCACGACAUCUUCUAUGGUCUUAUAUGGCCAUUAAACACAAAUGUGAACACCAUCCCAUAGUGUAGUGGUAGAACAUUUUCGUGGUCAUAUGUGGUGAGGAGCACAGAUCACCACACCCAAUCAGCUUCAUUCUCUCUCUACCUUUUUCCAUCUCUCUCUACAAUUUAAUUAAUUAAAAAAUAUAUAUUUUUUAUUUUAAUAAUCAAAAAAUAAGAGGGAUAUAGUGGUGAGUAUCCCAACCUUUUAGUGGUAGCUAGUGGUGAUGAUGUGGCACCCACUAUAAAUGGUAGGAAUAACCGAUGGCGAUUCAAUUUUUCUGCAACAAAAGAUGGUUCAAGGGGAAAAAGUGACUUAAACAGGAAAAGAUGUCGUGAGAUCUCCCCUCCAAGGAACCAGGCAUCCCAAAAUUUCAUCUUUUCUGCGCAGAUUUCUGCCCCUACCCCCACAAUGUCGGUGGCUGUCGGUUCGGAUCUUACCCCCAUUGAUCUAAAUGUUGCAGAUAAUUCGACGCCACAGGAGGAUACAAGCAGUGAUUGCAUCUCUCAUUCUAAGGAGAAGGACCUAACUGUUGAAAUUGGGCAAAAACUGGGCUUCGAUAGAAGUGCAGAGGAUCCGAUCCUCAAUGAAAUCAUGGCCGAGUCUGGAGGAGGUUUGGGCUUACAAUGAAUUGCAUCACUUUAAAUGUGCGAGGUUUGGGGGAAGACCACAAGGUGAAUUGGAUUCUACGACUCAAGAAUAGGCACAAAAUCUCGUUCUUUGGGAUUCAACAGACCCAAAUGUCAAAUGCAGAGGACAUCAACGUUGCUUGGUGUUGGGGAUCCAACGAGUUUGAGCAUGAUGGAGUAAAUACGGUUGGAAGAUCGGGAGGCCUACUCAGUAUUUGGGAUAAGAAGCUCUUUUCGGUUUUUGACAUUAUCAAAACUCGAUACUUUAUUAUUGUUUCGGGAAAUUGGUCUGGCAUUUCAUCCCCGGUCAAUUUUGAUAAUAUUUAUGGUCCUCAGCAAGUCUCUGACAAAGCUAAAUUGUGGGAUGACUUGCUUACAAUUAAAGAUAACAAAGCUAGAGCUUGGGUUUUCUUAGGUAAUUUCAAUGCAGUGCGGAGGCCAGACGAAAGAAUGUACUCUCAAUUCUGUUCAAUCACGACAGUGGGAUUCAAUAAUUUCAUUGCUGAGGCAGGUCUCAUUGACUUAAAAAUGGGAGGUUAUAAAUUUACGUACUCUUGUACAAGGGAACUGAAACUUAGCAAAUUGGACCGAUUUCUCUGUUGCUUAAACAAACUUCAUUUUCCCCUCCUUAUCUGUGACGGAUUUAGAUAAGGAAUUACCCGAUCAUUCUCCGGUCCUUCUCUCAUCAGCGGUGAUGGAUUUCGGUCCAUCUCCGUUCAGAUUUUCUAACUCUUGGAUGAUUAUCUCAGCUUGUGCCAAUUUCAAGGGGUAUGGGUGUUCAGACUCAUUUUUCGCUACCAAACUCAGGUACUUGAAAAAGGCAAUUAAAGACUGGAGUAGGAAAGAGUUUGGGAAAGAACAGCAGAAUCUUAAUCAAAUUAAAAACAGAGUGAAGGAACUUGACACUUUUGCUGAGACUAGACCAUUAACUGAGGCUGAAUUUGGAGAGCGGAGAGAAGGAUUCUAAAAGAUCGGGGACAUGGAAAGGGCAUUGUUCACUGAUUUAAAGCAGAAAGCUCGAAUUAGAUGGGCUGUGGAUGGGGACAAAAACACAAAGUUUUUCCGUACUUAUGUUAACAAUAAAAACAGGAAAAAUCAAAUUACAUGAUUGAUGACUGAUAGGCGUUGGUCUACCAACCCGGAGGAAAUAAAAGUGGAGGCCCUUCGUUUCUUUAGUUCUAAAUUUCAUGAGAGGCAUACUUCCUGCUCCAGGCUUACAAGCAAUCGGUUUUCGUGAUUAUCUCAUACUGAAGCGCAAUCCCUAGAGUCUCCAUUUUCCCAUGAAGAAAUCAAAGCAGCUGCGUGGGCCUGUGGCAGCGACAAAGCCCCAGGACCUGAUGGCUUUUCCUUUAAAUUCAUUAAGUCCCAUUGGAGCCUCCUUGGGGCAGAUAUAAUUAAUUAUGUGAAACACUUUGAACAUGUGGGUACUAUAUCUCCAGGGUGCAAUAGCUCCUUUAUUUCUUUGGUCCCAAAAAUUAAGGAUCCUCUAAAGAUGAACGAUUAUAGACCCAUAAGUUUGAUUGGAUGCCUCUAUAAGAUAAUUGCUAAACUCUUAGAGACAAGGUUAAAGAAAGCAGUAGGAUCUGUUAUUGGAGAGGCUCAGUCGCCAUAUGUUGCUGGGAGCAACAUCCUUGAUGGGCCUCUCAUUGCUAAUGAGGUGUGUUCAUGCGCAAAGAAAUCGAAGAGGCAAAUUCUGCUUUUCAAAGUAGACUUUGAUAAAGCUUUCGACUCUAUAAAUUGGAAAUACAUUGACUCGAUGCUAGACCAAAUGGGCUUUGGAGCGAAGUGGCGAUCAUGGAUUCAGAGUUGCUUGUCUUCUUCUAAAGCCUCAGUUUUGAUCAAUGGGAGUCCCACAGAAGAGUUCAACAUCACGAAAGGUGUAAGGCAAGGCCACCCUCUAUCGCCAUUUCUCUUCAUUAUUGCUAUGGAAGGCCUGAAUGUGGUACUCAGUAAUAUCAAUAGCGAGCAUAGCGACCGUUAUUGCGUUUUGCGAGGCGAGGCGUUCAAGGGUCACUAUGGGCUCAAAAGCGACUUCAUAGCGAUGUUCUUGAUUUUUUUUUAAUUAUAAAUACGGUAUCUACAGACCUGUUUUAGGGUUUUUUUUAGUUGACUAAGUCAAAGAAGGUUCAUACGCUCUUCUCUCGACCUAACCUCCCUUCCGCUUCUUCAACUAUUGUCAGCUCCUUCCCUUCUUCCUUCGAUUUCUCUUGCAAUCGAAGAUUAGUAGUCUUUUUUGGUAGUAUGCAUGUUUUAGAACUUAUUUGAGUUAAUAGUCUUGGGGUUUUUAGCUUAUUUAUUAGUUAUAAUUGCGAAUUAGGUGAAAGUAAAAAGUAGUAUAAUUUUUUUAAUAGGUAUUCUCUAAAAUUGAAAUAGUCGUCGCUAUUUCAUCGCUAUCGCGACAUAGCUUAUAGGUAGGUUGUCGCUAUGACCUCGCUAUCGCCAUCGAUAACACCGGUGGUGCUGAAGGAAGCAUGCGAUCAUGGCAUCUUCAAAGGUGUGAAUUUCCAGGGAAAUGACCCAUGUAUAUCGCAUCUCUUUUAUGCAGAUGACGCGCUCUUCCUUGGUGAGUGGUCUAAGGCGAAUAUAAAUGACCUGGCUCGCAUCCUUAGAUGCUUCUAUGCUUCUUUAGGGCUCAAGGUAAAUUUCUGUAAAUCUCAGGUUUUUGGCAUUGCUGCUUCGCAGCAACAAGUGAAUAGAUGGGCACGUCUUCUUGGGUGUGAGCUAUCUUCCCUCCCAUUCAUAUACUUAGGGGUGUCGGUGGGAGCUAACAUGAAGUUAAAGAAACAUUGGCGUCCAAUCCUUAACAGAUUUAACUCCAAGUUAUCUGAAUGGAAAGCUAGAAACCUGUCUUUUGGAGAGAGAGACUUACCCUUAUCAAGUCGGUGUUGUCACAUUUACCUUCAUGUUAUUUUUCACUUUUUGUUGCUCCAGGUGCAAUCCUUAAUGAACUGGAGAGGAUUAGACAUCGCUUCUUAUGGGGUGGCUCGAAGGACUUGAGAAAGAUUUGUUGGGUGGGCUGGGAUAAGGUUGUUGCUGCAAAGGAAAAAAGAUGGUUUAGAUGUUGGCUCCAUAAAAGCAUUCAACAUAGCCUUAUUUUGUAAAUUGUGGUGGCGGAUAAAAACUGAACCAAACUCAUUCUGGGCCAAGGUGAUUCAUGUUAUUCACGGGCUUGACAACAAACCAGACGACUUCCUCGCCAAGAGAUCGAGACCAGACCAGGUGUUUGGUGCUCCAUUGCCAAGGUAAAACUCGACCUGGUCAAGCGCAACAUCCCUUUAAACAGAGUCAUUAGAAGGGGGGUUAGCCCAAGUGAGGCUUUUGGGUGUCUGAUUUGGCUAAUGGAGGGCGCUAUAUAGCAUGAGGCAGACGAUUGAUAAUUCCAUAUCCAUUACUCCCGUGGAUCCUUUCCAGUAGACUAAAAUCGUUCCCCUGAAAGUAACAUGUUUUGCUUGGCGUGCAGAAGUAGAUCGGAUCCCCUCGACAGUCAAUCUUCUUCGAAGAGGAAUUUCCAGCAUGGAUAAGUAUUGUAGCUACUGUGGAGGUGUGGAGGAGACUACAGACCACUUAUUGUGUGGGUGUCGUGCAGCAUGUACUCUAACGGAUUUAGUGUUUAGAUGGUAUGGAAUUCAACACUCAAACUUCUCGUAUACUUCUGAAGUUCUAGAAUUUGUGUACAACUGGGGAAGUUGCCUAAACAGAAGGAGGAUGCUAAUCGGAAUUUGCUAUGGUAUGCUUUGGUGUAUAUGGAGAGCUCGUAAUGACAGGGUGUUCAACAACAUAAAAACAAAUCCUGAAAGAGUGGUGAAUAUCAUUAAAUCCACUGUGUAUUUAUGGUUUAAACAUAGGAGAAGAAAAGGUGUAUGUAAUUGGUUUGAUUGGAUUGUUAGCCCUUUCUCUUGCAUUUGAAAGACCUAUUUUGUUUCUUUUCUUUUCCACUCUUGUAAUCUUUUGUUGGGUUGUUGCCUAGUGCCUUGUUAGGUCGCUCUCUCUUUUUAGUUUUAUUUAAUAUAUUUGACGGUUCUAAAAAAAAUUAAUGUUUUAUUAAUCUAUGUUUUUUUUUUGUUUGUGGACAAUAAUUUUUGGGACGNNNNNNNNNNNNNNNNNNNNNNNNNNNNNNNNNNNNNNNNNNNNNNNNNNNNNNNNNNNNNNNNNNNNNNNNNNNNNNNNNNNNNNNNNNNNNNNNNNNNNNNNNNNNNNNNNNNNNNNNNNNNNNNNNNNNNNNNNNNNNNNNNNNNNNNNNNNNNNNNNNNNNNNNNNNNNNNNNNNNNNNNNNNNNNNNNNNNNNNNNNNNNNNNNNNNNNNNNNNNNNNNNNNNNNNNNNNNNNNNNNNNNNNNNNNNNNNNNNNNNNNNNNNNNNNNNNNNNNNNNNNNNNNNNNNNNNNNNNNNNNNNNNNNNNNNNNNNNNNNNNNNNNNNNNNNNNNNNNNNNNNNNNNNNNNNNNNNNNNNNNNNNNNNNNNNNNNNNNNNNNNNNNNNNNNNNNNNNNNNNNNNNNNNNNNNNNNNNNNNNNNNNNNNNNNNNNNNNNNNNNNNNNNNNNNNNNNNNNNNNNNNNNNNNNNNNNNNNNNNNNNNNNNNNNNNNNNNNNNNNNNNNNNNNNNNNNNNNNNNNNNNNGUCUAGAGGGUAGAUCUGAGGUUGCUACCUCAGAUCUGGAAGGGAGGAGAAUCAGAGAGCAUGAAAGUCCCUGUGUUGGAGUGUUUAGUGAAGCUUGCAAGUCCCAAACCCUAGUUAUAAGUGAAUAAGGCCUAGAUCUCUUUGGAUUCACGUAAAGUUUGCCACUUUACGUGAUGGAUGAGUUGUAUGAGGCUAGAUCUAUGUUUUGGAUCAUUUGCAUGGCCUGGAAUGCUUCUGAAUGGAUUCAGAUCGGUGGUACUCGGCGAGUCACAUGGGUGAACUCGACGAGUUGCUUGAAGAUGAGCUGGGACUCGACGAGUUGGAAGAACAACUCGGCGAGUCGGAUGAAGAUAGCCUUGAACUCGGCGAGUUGUAUGAACAACUCGGCGAGUAGGUUGAUGAUAGCCUUAGACUCGGCGAGUCUGUUCUUGGACUCGGCGAGUCUUGUCGAAGAGUUCCGAUAUUCUCUGGUUGAGUCGAGAAUCGGUGAGUCAAGGGAUGACUCGGUGAGUUGUGUGCGAGUGGACUCUGAGUUGUUGGACUCGGCGAGUCUCGGGGUGACUCGGCGAGUUAGGUCGCGGAUGGAGUGAAGUCUGAGUAUGGGAACUCGGCGAGUCAUAGGGUUGACUCGGCGAGUAGGGUCAGUCAGGAGUUGACUUUGACCUUGUCUUUGUCCAAGGGUUGACCAAUGGUGUCCAGGGGCAUUUUGGUAAUUAUUGUUUGUUGUUUUGAGUUCAGCGCAUUGGUGGUUGACCAGUGGUGGAGAUCGUAUCAGUGAUCGGAGUAGCUUGGAUUAUCUGUUCAGUCGGCAGCUUCGAGGUGAGUUAUCCUCACUAUAUCAACGGGGUCUAAGGCACCAAGGCCGGCCCUUAUCGGAUUGAGAUCCGGGUAGUUGUUGCUAUGUUAUUGUUAUGUUGUUGUGCUAUGAUAUGUUUGCAUCCUGUGAGUUAGGAUGGUGUAUGUUAGAGGCCUGAUUGAGAUCAGUAUAAUGAGAGAUAGGGAGGCGCCAUGCUAGUGACCUGUUAGGUCAGUAUCCUGGUUAGGAUGAUUAUAUGUUAUGUGAUCUGUUAGAUCUGCUUGAGGUCUGUGAUUUGCUCUAUGAUUAUAUGUAUGUAUGUGCACAUGGAUGUUUGGACUGGAGUUGGGUUGAGGCGGGUCCUGCUAUGUGCAGUAGGCCAAGAUACCCAGGGUGGAUCGGUUGUCCUGUAGGCCCAGCGAGCGGUCCAGAUAGGUUGUAGGUCCCGAUACGGGCGGACCAGACGUGCCGAAGGCUCGGAGAGUGGACCAGACAGACUUAAGGCCCGGUGCGGGCGGACCAGUCAUACUAUAGACCCAGAGAAUGGACCAGGGAGAUUGAAGGCCCGGGAACGGGCGGACCAAUUACACUGCAGACUCGAUGUAUGCGGAUAGACUCAGAGGGUGGACCAGGUGGACUGUUGGCCGGUGCGGCGGACCAGUCACACAGUAGACCCGGAGAGCAUGGCUGUUCUAUGAUCGGAUAUGUUAUGGCAUGUUAUGCGUGUAUGGUAUUUGUGGUUGGUAUUUUGGGGGUAUCUCACUAAGCUUUCGGGCUUACAGUUGUGGGUUCAUGUUUUUCAGGUUCUUCAGGAGAUCGUGGCAAGGCGAAGGCGUGAUCGUACCGCUCCUCAUGAUUUCGUGGUGUUAUGAUUCUGGGAAUACGAUAAAUGUUUUGUAUUGAAAACCUUUUUGUAAAGAUUUUAUGGAAUCGAGAUGUUUUUGAAAAAUUUAAAAUUGGUUGUAUUUUUCGGCUGUUACAAGUUGGUAUCAAAGCCUUGGUUUGAGUGAAUUGGAGAAACACUCGUGUGACUCCAGUCUCAAAUCGAGGAGAGUUUUCAAAAGAGUAUUUAAAAAUGGUUUUCAAAAUGAGUAAAGGAGGACGCGGAGGUACGAUCAGCCGGAGCCAGUAAGUAACCCCAAAAUACCAUGCAUGUUAUUUGUUUUUGAGCUUUGAUAGAACAACAUGCUAGUGUUAGGCUAGGGAUCUUCAGGAUUUCAUGAUAUGUUGCCUGAUUUGUGAUGCCUGUAGCCUAGGGUCCCUUAUGGGAGAUUCUCAGUGUUUCUCUAGUGGUGAGGGUUGAUUAUUGUUAUGCUUGUUCUCUAGGGUAUUGUGGUAGUACUUCAUACAAAUGUGGGUAGGUGUGGAAGGUAGUAUGGGCCCGUACUACUGAAAGCACAGGACCCAUACGCGUAUCAGGGAAACCAUGAUCUCUAGGGUGGGUUGAGAGAGAGUUGGAUCCCAGGGUGUGGGAAGAGUCUGAGAUUUUGUGUGGUGUUUCUUUUCAGUAUGGAGAUUCCGAGGCAUGAUGAGAGUGGAUCCGGGUCAGGAUCGGGAGCUGGAGAGAGGGUUCCGGGCGAAUCGGUGCCGCCCGAGGUUGUCGGUCAGAUGAGCACGAGCGAGUUGGACGCGAGGAUUCGUGAGAUCCUGCGUGAGGAGAUUGCGGAGUUGUUCCGGGCUGAGUUGCCAGAGCUGUUUGGGUCGAUUAAGACCGCCAUGGUUGAGUAUUUUGAUGAGCGUUAUGCGGCUCUCACCGAGACGGCUGCCGCGGCGGCUACAACAGCUGUAGCAGCGACAGGGGGAGGAUCUGGUUGGGGUUUUCAGUAUUGGGACUUCGACAAUACGAAGCCUCCCACCUUCGAUGGAGUUCAGGACCCGAUCGUCGCUAUGAGAUGGUUAUCUGACGUGGAGGGGUGUUUCUUCACGUGUUCAUGCCCUGCUGAUCAGAGGGUGAGGUGUGCUCUGAACCUGUUGAUGCUCGGGGCGAAGGAUUGGUGGAGACUGACCACGGGGUCAUAUUCGGAUGCUCAGAGGGCUGCGGUUUCAUGGGAACAGUUCAUAGAAAUGUUCAACACUCGUUAUGUUCCGUAAGUUGAGAGGGAGAGAUUGGCUCAGGAGUUCCUUGACCUGAAGCAGGGUUCGGAGUCGGUGACUGAGAUCACCAGGAUGUUCACGGAGAGAGCGAUGCUUUGCCCACAGUUCGCUUCGGAGCAGGCUCAGAUGUCUCGAUAUCUGAGCAUACUCAAGAGGGACAUCAGACAGUUUGUGUCUGCGUAGAGGUGCGAGACCUUGGUGGAGUGGUAGGAGGCCGCUAGGCGGCGUGAGUUAGAGAUUGAGUUGCAGUUGCGUGAGCUGAGACAGGCUCCUGUGCAGUCACAGCCGGCGCCGAAACGGUCCAAGACCGUUGAUGUUAGAGUGGGGGAUUUGAGCAGCCACACUUGUGGGAAGUGUGGGAAGGGUCACACCGGGGUUUGUAGGACCGGUGGUGCAUGCCGCAAGUGCGGAAGGGAUGGGCACUAUGCGAGGGAUUGUCGGCAGUCAGCACCAGUUCGGGAUUUGAGGAUCUGCUAUCAUUGUCAUCAGGUUGGACAUUUGAGGGCCAACUGUCCACAGUUUGCUGCAGGAUCGGUGCAGGCUCCAGCACCGGCCACUUUGAGGAUCAUAGGUGGAGGUCAGGGUGGAGCACAGCCCCCGAGGGCUCAGGGUCGUACUUAUCAGCUUGCGGCAGAGGAGGUCAGGGCAGUACCGGAUGCAGCUGCGGGUAUGUUUCUUUCUUGAUAUCUUGUUAUCUUGUGAUUAUUGUGGUGUAAUGUUCAUGAGCUGGUAUUUUGUUUGGUUUUCUUUGUGAUAUUCGUCGUUUUGCCGGUUGGAGUUUUUGGUUUUGAUUUGGGUUUCGGGUUUUCGAUUUGGUAUCCGUUGUUCCCUGAGGGUUUGGUAUGGUUAUAGUUUGGUGAUUGUGCUGUUAUUGGUUAUAGUUCGUAAGGGUUAUUAGUGGAGAUGCGGCAUUGGGUUAUAUGUCGGGUAGCAUCUUCAUUCGUGGAAAGGAUAAUUGGAGAUCGGAUUCUUUUUGAGCGGAUUGAUCAGGGAGGAGAUGUGUUUUGCUAAGGGUUGUUUAUGCUUGUGGGAAGCAAUUCGUGUGUAAGUGGUCUCUUUGUGUAGGGUUGUUCUGGAAGAUCGUUGAUGGCGACUGGCGGUUGUUAGUCAGUGCUAUAAGUGGGGGAGAAUUGGAGAAUUCUCCGGGAGAUCGGUGAGUAUUUGAGGGUGCUUAGUUGUUGGGUUACAACAGUGUUCUGUCAGCCCAGAGUAUAGGCCGAUAGGAGCGAAUGUCAGGCAUGCGGGGCGAGCGACAGACCUAGGGCAUUUGAUUGUGGAGGCCUGGGAGCAGGCCGGGAUCGAGUAUGUUGAUGGAGUCAGAGUUCGGAACCCCUAGAGGGCUAGAACGGUAUGCAUGGGAGGAUUUCCGGAGGUGAUAACCCGGAAUGUCGAAUGCUAGUUGAGCGGUCCGGAUAGACUNAGACAGACCUAGGGCAUUUGAUUGUGGAGGCCUGGGAGCAGGCCGGGAUCGAGUAUGUUGAUGGAGUCAGAGUUCGGAACCCCUAGAGGGCUAGAACAGUAUGCAUGGGAGGAUUUCCGGAGGUGAUAACCCAGAAUGUCAGAUGCUAGUUGAGUGGUCUGGAUAGACUGAAGGCCGGCAGGCGUACCAGUCAGGCCGAAGGCUCGGAGAACGGUCCAGCCAAACUGAAGGCACUGAGAGUGGUCCAGAUUGGCUGAAGGUUUUGAGGGUGGUCCAGAUGGGCUGAAGGCCUGGUGAGGUGGUCCAGUCAUGCUGAAGACUCUGUAGGCAUUGUUGGAUCUGUUGAGGAUAUGGUUUGGGGUAUGUCGCAGUGUGUUUGCAUUAGAAGGUCUGGCCCCGGGUUGUGAUUUUGAUGAGUUGAGAGAGUGCAUGGGCUUGAGAGCCCCUGCGAUGAGAGCCAGAGUAUGUGGAUAGCGGAUACACAAAAAGGGUGGUGUCGCAUUCGGCGAGCACCGUGGCUCUUGUUGGAGUGACAAUGUGGCCAAGUGGAUUCCUUGGAAAAGGAAGAGAGAAAGGUGUAUAACCCCGAGAGGGAGUGCAAGUUCACGGAAGUGAAAACUGCAGAGCAGAGUUAUGAUUAGAGUAUUUCGAGUAUGGUUUUGGGCAUCGUGGUUGCGGAAGUGGAAUAGAAGCUCAUCCGGUUUGGGAUGUCUGCUGAGAUUGCGGAAGGAAUUCCGCAGGUGUAGGGCCAAGAGGCUUGGAAAGGAUGCAGGGGGGAGAGUCCUGGACUCUCAGUGUGAUUCUGUUCAGGGUAUUGGGCAUGUAUUAGUGGUUCAUCCUGGGGGAUGUUUGAGGGUGUCAUCAGUGUAUCGAGUUUUCCCAACCUGAGGGUGCUGGAGCUAGUUCAGCAUGUGUAUGUGAUUGUAAGAGGAGGACUCGUGGGAGUUGCUCUGAGAUAGAGAAUGGGUUUUUCCGUUGUCACGAAAUGGAUAGAGUGGAAUUCAGAUCGGGGAUCCGAUGGUUCAUGGUUAUCUAGCCUUUAUGAGUCGAGUGAUGGUUGUGAUUUGGAGCAGUGUUGCAUUAUGGGUAGUACUCAGGGGUUAAGUGAAGUUAUCAGAGGGUGAAUCUGGUGCCCUAUUUGAAACGGUGGUCAGGACACCGUGAGGAAAGGAAAGUGUGUUCGAGUUUCGUUUGGGUAUGCCUUGAGGGACUUGGUCUGGUUGAGGCCAGGUGGCGCAUUGCGGGAGUAUCUUUGGAGUUGAGCUGCUAUAGGCUUCGAGGGCGAAGCCUAAUAUAUGUGGGGGAGAAUUGUAACAUCCCGAAAUAGCAAGAGUAGAGUUGAAGGGCUAAAAGUGUUAUUUGAGGAAAGGUGACUNNNNNNNNNNNNNNNNNNNNNNNNNNNNNNNNNNNNNNNNNNNNNNNNNNNNNNNNNNNNNNNNNNNNNNNNNNNNNNNNNNNNNNNNNNNNNNNNNNNNNNNNNNNNNNNNNNNNNNNNNNNNNNNNNNNNNNNNNNNNNNNNNNNNNNNNNNNNNNNNNNNNNNNNNNNNNNNNNNNNNNNNNNNNNNNNNNNNNNNNNNNNNNNNNNNNNNNNNNNNNNNNNNNNNNNNNNNNNNNNNNNNNNNNNNNNNNNNNNNNNNNNNNNNNNNNNNNNNNNNNNNNNNNNNNNNNNNNNNNNNNNNNNNNNNNNNNNNNNNNNNNNNNNNNNNNNNNNNNNNNNNNNNNNNNNNNNNNNNNNNNNNNNNNNNNNNNNNNNNNNNNNNNNNNNNNNNNNNNNNNNNNNNNNNNNNNNNNNNNNNNNNNNNNNNNNNNNNNNNNNNNNNNNNNNNNNNNNNNNNNNNNNNNNNNNNNNNNNNNNNNNNNNNNNNNNNNNNNNNNNNNNNNNNNNNNNNNNNNNNNNNNNNNNNNNNNNNNNNNNNNNNNNNNNNNNNNNNNNNNNNNNNNNNNNNNNNNNNNNNNNNNNNNNNNNNNNNNNNNNNNNNNNNNNNNNNNNNNNNNNNNNNNNNNNNNNNNNNNNNNNNNNNNNNNNNNNNNNNNNNNNNNNNNNNNNNNNNNNNNNNNNNNNNNNNNNNNNNNNNNNNNNNNNNNNNNNNNNNNNNNNNNNNNNNNNNNNNNNNNNNNNNNNNNNNNNNNNNNNNNNNNNNNNNNNNNNNNNNNNNNNNNNNNNNNNNNNNNNNNNNNNNNNNNNNNNNNNNNNNNNNNNNNNNNNNNNNNNNNNNNNNNNNNNNNNNNNNNNNNNNNNNNNNNNNNNNNNNNNNNNNNNNNNNNNNNNNNNNNNNNNNNNNNNNNNNNNNNNNNNNNNNNNNNNNNNNNNNNNNNNNNNNNNNNNNNNNNNNNNNNNNNNNNNNNNNNNNNNNNNNNNNNNNNNNNNNNNNNNNNNNNNNNNNNNNNNNNNNNNNNNNNNNNNNNNNNNNNNNNNNNNNNNNNNNNNNNNNNNNNNNNNNNNNNNNNNNNNNNNNNNNNNNNNNNNNNNNNNNNNNNNNNNNNNNNNNNNNNNNNNNNNNNNNNNNNNNNNNNNNNNNNNNNNNNNNNNNNNNNNNNNNNNNNNNNNNNNNNNNNNNNNNNNNNNNNNNNNNNNNNNNNNNNNNNNNNNNNNNNNNNNNNNNNNNNNNNNNNNNNNNNNNNNNNNNNNNNNNNNNNNNNNNNNNNNNNNNNNNNNNNNNNNNNNNNNNNNNNNNNNNNNNNNNNNNNNNNNNNNNNNNNNNNNNNNNNNNNNNNNNNNNNNNNNNNNNNNNNNNNNNNNNNNNNNNNNNNNNNNNNNNNNNNNNNNNNNNNNNNNNNNNNNNNNNNNNNNNNNNNNNNNNNNNNNNNNNNNNNNNNNNNNNNNNNNNNNNNNNNNNNNNNNNNNNNNNNNNNNNNNNNNNNNNNNNNNNNNNNNNNNNNNNNNNNNNNNNNNNNNNNNNNNNNNNNNNNNNNNNNNNNNNNNNNNNNNNNNNNNNNNNNNNNNNNNNNNNNNNNNNNNNNNNNNNNNNNNNNNNNNNNNNNNNNNNNNNNNNNNNNNNNNNNNNNNNNNNNNNNNNNNNNNNNNNNNNNNNNNNNNNNNNNNNNNNNNNNNNNNNNNNNNNNNNNNNNNNNNNNNNNNNNNNNNNNNNNNNNNNNNNNNNNNNNNNNNNNNNNNNNNNNNNNNNNNNNNNNNNNNNNNNNNNNNNNNNNNNNNNNNNNNNNNNNNNNNNNNNNNNNNNNNNNNNNNNNNNNNNNNNNNNNNNNNNNNNNNNNNNNNNNNNNNNNNNNNNNNNNNNNNNNNNNNNNNNNNNNNNNNNNNNNNNNNNNNNNNNNNNNNNNNNNNNNNNNNNNNNNNNNNNNNNNNNNNNNNNNNNNNNNNNNNNNNNNNNNNNNNNNNNNNNNNNNNNNNNNNNNNNNNNNNNNNNNNNNNNNNNNNNNNNNNNNNNNNNNNNNNNNNNNNNNNNNNNNNNNNNNNNNNNNNNNNNNNNNNNNNNNNNNNNNNNNNNNNNNNNNNNNNNNNNNNNNNNNNNNNNNNNNNNNNNNNNNNNNNNNNNNNNNNNNNNNNNNNNNNNNNNNNNNNNNNNNNNNNNNNNNNNNNNNNNNNNNNNNNNNNNNNNNNNNNNNNNNNNNNNNNNNNNNNNNNNNNNNNNNNNNNNNNNNNNNNNNNNNNNNNNNNNNNNNNNNNNNNNNNNNNNNNNNNNNNNNNNNNNNNNNNNNNNNNNNNNNNNNNNNNNNNNNNNNNNNNNNNNNNNNNNNNNNNNNNNNNNNNNNNNNNNNNNNNNNNNNNNNNNNNNNNNNNNNNNNNNNNNNNNNNNNNNNNNNNNNNNNNNNNNNNNNUUUAAAAUUGGUUGUAUUUUUCGGCUGUUACAAAUAUAUAUAUAUAUAUAUAUAUAUAAAAUAAAAUUAAUUAAAAAAUAAAUUAAUAAAGACUGUUUUUAAGUUACCACAACAAAAACAAACAAGGACUUUCAUUUUUGACAAUAUCCACAUGUUCCAUUCCUUUCGUCGAUUCCCACAAUCAUGUUGUUCUCCUCAUCGAUUUUCAUAGCUCGCUGCCUGCUUUUCAUUCCCUAUGCCCCAUAUAUCCACAGCCCUCCGUCUUCCUUCCACUUGCGUCAAUUUCCAAGUGCAGAAACGACAACCAAAUUCGAUUUGAAUCUAUCUGAAAUCGCUACCAAAUCAAAUCAUUUGAGUCCAUCCUUAAAUUUUACAAUUUAAAAGAGACUGCUGAUUUUUCAAUAAUGAAUUCAUUGUUGCACAUGGUUCUUUUAAGAAAAGAUUAAUGCAUAUUAACUGUUUGAUGAAAUGCCUAGCUUUUUUUUUUUCUUUUUUAAUUAAAGCCAUAAGACUAAUCGAAAACAACUACUAAUAUUUAUAGGAAAUAACUACCUUAGCUUCCAAGCAUGCUAGGAAUAGAAUGGUGAGUUCAAAAUGUUCCAGGGCUGGGUUAUUAGUUAUUAUAAGAUACAGAAGAUGUAAUUGAAUAAGUAUAACUACAACAUUCUUAAAAUUGUCUCUCGUGUUGAGAACACAUAAAAUGAAUAAGUAACACUCAAACCACAUAAACUGAAUAUAAAAUCACAGCAAGCGAAAGCAGCAGAGUGCAGCAUCGGUAUUAUAAAUAUAAAGACAUACAAUAGUUAAACAUUCUUGCUUUUAUUUUUUCUUUUUUUCUUUUCAGUAAUACAACACAGUGCUUUUAUGUUAGUGUUAAAAUUCUUAUGAAUUCUUCAACAUGUAACUGAAAACUUCUUCAUAUAUUUUGUAAAACUCUAUACAUAUUUGUAUUUGAGUUUAUAGUUAUUUGACAUAAAUUGUAUAAUAUUUUUUUGUAUUGUAUACAAUUAGGUUACCAAUGUUAUUUUGCUACUUUUUACAUGUAUUGACAUUCCAAGUGAUGGAAAAAGUGCUAAUUUCACCUGAAAAUAAAACUUAUGAAAACCCGCUGCAAAACUACAGAUGAAACUUUUGUAGCCAAAUUUCUAGAAGGAUUGCAAUUUUCAUUGACUUAUUAGUUUAUCUACUACAUAAUGAUAUAAGAAAUCAUAUCCAGAGACCGGAGUAUCAUAACAAGUAGGCAUUUAAGUGAAGAUAUAAGAAAACAUAUCAUUAGUAUUUUUAACAAUAAGGCAUUUAAUUGCACAAAUAUUAUCAUGGUGCAUCAUAGGAAACUACAAAAAAUAAAGAACAUUAGAAGUGCACUGUAUCAGGCCUUCAUCAACAGAUUUGAAACUUGGAGCAUGGUUGGCCUUUCUACUGGAUUGGAGUUCAAACAUGCUCUUGAGAGUGUAAGCACCAAUGCAACUUGUUCCUCAACUUGUGAGGGAGGAGGUAUCCGACUAUCUCUCAGAUUUGCUUGCACCAGAUGAUCAUCAGAUAAUGUUGGUAAAGAUGUUAUGAGUUCUCCAGGAUGCUUUCCCAUGACCACUUCUAGUGCAACAACUCCAAAGCUAUACACAUCACAUUUCUCUGUUGCCACCAUCGUAUAAGCAAGCUCUACAUCCAAACAAAAAUAAGAUAAAAAUAAAAACAGCUAUAUCAACCUCACAUAAUUGUAACAUAGAUACAUUUAUGUACAUCAUGAAACAUAAUAAGAUGUAGAACAACAAUCACAAGAUUACGUUACCUGGCGCGAUAUAACCAUAUGUUCCAGCAAUUGUAGUCCAAUUGGAUGAGUCUAGCUUUAAAAGCUUGGAUGUCCCAAAAUCAGAAAUAUGUGCCUCAUAAUCAGAAUCAAGAAGGAUAUUGGCAAUGGAAAUGUCUCUAUGAAUUAUAGGAGGUGAGCAGUCAUGAUGCAUAUAAGCCAAACCGUUAGUAAUAGCCUUUAUAAUAUUGACCCUUUUUAACCAAUCCAAUUCUUUUGCUAGCACGUCACUUUUUAAGAUUGAUCCAAGGCUGCCAUUUUCAAGGUAUUCAUAAAUCAAAAUUGAGUGGCGAGCGUGGGAGCAAUAUCCAUAAAGUUUCACUAUGUUUCGAUGCCUUAUGUUCGUUAAUGCUCGUAUCUCAUUAUGGAAUCCAUUACUAUCAACAUUCUCAGAUGAUGAGUGAAGUUUCUUGACAGCUACCACAUUGUUAGGCUUUAGCUCAGCUUUGUACACGGCCCCAUAUCCUCCAACCCCAAUACAAUAUCCUUCAUCGAAAUCAUUUGUUGCUUUCAAGAUAUCAGCAUACACUAUUUUUCCAUCAAAACCUGUAAUGGAAAAGUAAUCAAUACUUUCUUCUUCCAAUGGUUUCUGUGGAGACUUUUUCUUUUGUUGUCGAUAAGCAAUGAGGCCAUACGUGAAUAAACCAAGUAAAACUACCCCCAUAAGGGGGAGCAGAAUUAUGAGCAUGAGCCUAUAAUGAAAUGGAUCGUUUUUCUUCUUCAAAAUUUUACUUGCACAAAGUUGCAAUCCUGUAGCAUUUCCACACAAACCUGGAUUGCCUUGUAUGGACGCAUUCACAAAGUUGGGGCUUUGAGGAACUGCACCUGUGAGCUCAUUGUAAGACAGGUCGAUAUCAAUUCCGCCAGGCAAAUUUGUAAAAGCAUUAGGAAUGGAACCGGAUAGCAUAUUGUGGGAAAGAUCUAAUAUCUUCAAAUCUUGCAAACUUUGAACUUCAGAUGGUAUCUCUUCUGUGAGCAAAUUCCGAGAUAAAUCAAAUUCUGUAAGAUGAACUAAUUUACUAAUGUCGGAUGGAAUUUUUCCACUGAGCUUGUUAUUACUAAGAUUCAGGUAAUGGAUUUGUGCCCAUUGACCAAUACUUACCGGUAUCGACCCAUUCAAUCUAUUUGUGGAUAGAUCCAGUUCAAGGAGUUCACGGAAUGAUCCAAGCUCCAGAGGUAUGGUGCCUGAAAGUUGGUUAUUAGACAAGUAUAAAUUCAGCAUACUUAUCAUCUUCCCAAAUUCUUUAGGGAUUUCGCCUACCAAGUUAUUAAAAGAAAGAUCAAGCCUUUGUAGUUGAGUUGAAUUUGCAAACUCUGGUGGUAUGCUACCACUAAGUUUGUUUUGGCUCACAUCAAGAUCAUUGAGAGACUUGAAAUUCCCAAGUUCAAUUGGAAUGGGACCCGAUAAAUUGUUCCCAUCAAGGUACAAAGAUUGUAGAUUGCUCAUGUUUGCUAGUGACAAAGGAAUAGAACCACUAAGUUGAUUGUUGCUUAGUGCAAGUUCAGUGAGAGACUUCAAAUUCCCAAGUUCAAAAGGAAUGAGACCAGAAAAAUUAUUCUUUUGUAGGAACAUACACUGUAGGUCACUAAGGUUUUCUAGCGAGGAAGGAAUAGAACCACUAAGUACAUUUUCACUCACUUGAAAAUUAGUGAGAGCCUUCAAAUUCCCAAGUUCAAUAGGAAUCGGACCAGAUAAUUUAUUCAUAUCGAGGAACAGAAAAUGGAGGUUGCUCAGGUUUGCAAUUGAUGAAGGAAUAGAACCACUAAGUGUAUUGUUGCUUACCAGAAGCCUAGUGAGAGACUUCAAUUUCCCAAGAUCAAUAGGAAUUGGACCAGAUAACUUAUUAUGAGCUAGGUUCAGACGAUAUAGGUUGCUCAUAUUUCCUAUUGAUGAACGAAUGGAACCAGAGAGCUGAUUUUGGUACAAAGAAAGGACAUUUAAAGAUGUCAAAGCACCCAAUGAUGAAGGAAUUGAGCUAGAUAGAUUGUUUGAGUAUAAGUAUAGGAACUCAAGUGAGACCAUGCUUCCUAUUUCAGGUGGGAUUUCACCAGAAAACUGAUUCUGUGAAAAAUCAAGAUAGAUAAGUUUGGAGAGGAGUCGGAUUUGUGGUGGGAUAGGGCCAAAGAAGCUGUUUACCCUGAGAUCAAAACGUGUAAGAUUUUGUAGCAAAAAGAAUGAUAUUUCUUGAAGCGUGCCUCUUAACCCAGAAGAUGUGAGAUUCAACUUCUGAAUGCUCCCAUCAGCAUUGCAAACUACUCCAAACCAAGAAGUGCAUGGGACUGAUGCACUAGAAUUCAUAGGGAGGGGCAUCCAUGAAGAGAGCGAGGAUUUGUUUGUGAUUUCAAGGCUAGCUUUCCAUUUAAGAAGAUUAUUGGCUUCCUCCAAAGAAGCAGAAGCAAAAUUUGGUAUGGGCAAGAGUACUGUAAUGAUUAGUAGAGUUAGAGAGAAAAGUAAGAAGUUUGAAGAAGACAUUAUUUGCUUUGCCAUGUUGUGUUUUAAAAAAUGAUGGUAUCCUGAUUUAUACAUGAGCUGCCCUUUCAUCUUGUAUAUUUCAUUUCCUCUUAUUCGGAAAAGUAAUUUAUGGCAAUUUCAUAUUUUUCCACAAGAAUGUCUUUUAUGUAGAAGCUAAUGUCAUACAUUUCCACAAAGGACUUAUUACACUUUGAAUUGUAUUCCUCGUGACAAUCUAGCUAUAAGAAGAAAAAGAAAAGAAUGUUAGAAAAGAAAUAAAAAAUAAUUGGUUACCAAAAAGACGUAGUAUAUAAUGUCAAUGUUGGAUUUAAUAGUGUAAUAUAUAUAACUUAACUGGAUCAUUAGUUGGACAUAUAUAUAUAUAUAUAUAAACGAGCCACUGCCAAGCAAGUAACUAACGGAGGAGCAGCAACAAAAAAACAGACGAUAAAUUUUAGUACAAGUUUCAGUUGAUUUACUUCAGAUUUACAUUAGGUAAAACUGAUACCAAUAGUUAGAUGGAUGUCAUGUCCAAGUUGCGUUAUUGAGUUCAUGGAGAUGGGGUCGGAUCGAUGUGGCCAUUUGAGAAUAUUUAAUAAAUCGAAUGAUUCUCAUGCAUUCCUUGAACAUGUGAACGCGAUAACAUUAAGAUAAAUACGAGGAUAAUAAAUAUAAAGAAAGUGAUGUUAUUAUUAUUAUUAUUAUUAUUAUUAUUAUUAUUAUUAUUAUUUUGUUUUCUCUAUUGAAUAGCGUCUAAAACAUAUCAUACCUUGACUAAAACUAAAGCUACUUAAAUAAAAUGUUACUAAUAGAGAAUUUCAUAUAUGCCUUUCUUCAACUUCAAAAAAAUCAUAUUUGUCAAGCUUAAUUUUUGAAUAUCAUAUUUUCCUUUCAUAAACCUUCAAAAUAUCAUAUUUGCCCAAAUCUUUUUUUAUAAUGUUUUUAAUAUUUUAUAAUCAUUUUUUAUAUCUGAGAGUUAUUAUAAUAAUUAAAAAAUUUAACCAUAUUAUCCUUACGUCUAUGAUAAUGGAAUGUGAAUUUCUAAAUUGUUGGAAUGUCGCCUCUUGACAAACAAAAAGAUUCAUCUUCAACCCUCUUAAUGGAAUGUAUAUUUUUAUUGUUUAGUUUUUUGUUGUUGAUUAUUAUCAUGUUGUAGAUGGAGGAUGUUUUAAAUAUUACCAUUGAUAUUUUGAUGUUUAAAAAGUACAUAUACGAUAUUUUGAUAUUUAAGAGGGUGUUUGGCUUAGCUUUUAAAAGCUUAAAAGUUCUUUUCCAAAAAGUUACAAAAAGUCAAGAAAUCCUGACUUUUCCAAAAAGUUGUUUUUCCUUGUAUUAAAAUUUCAAAAGUUACUAGCUUACCAAAUAUCUUUUUGUUUUUUUUCUUUUACAAAAAGGAUUUUUGACUUAGAAAAGCUAACCCAAACACCCCUUAUGUAGGGCAUAUAUGAUAUUUUGAUGUUUAAAAAUGACAUAUAUGAUAUUUAGAAAUUUUAUGAUGGGUAAAUAUGAUAUUUAGAAAUUAAGCUGGGUAAUUUUGAUAUUUUAAUGUUUAAGAAAAACAUAUAUGAAGUUCUCCAUAACAUUGAAUAAAGGGAUAUAAUCUCACAAAAAGCACCAUAUAUUCUUAAAAGAGGUUUUUAACAAAUAAGUUAAAUCACUAUAUAUAUACAUAUAUAUAUAUAUAUAUAUAUAUAUGUAUAUNAUAUAUAUAUAGAGAGAGAGAGAGAGAGAGUGACACUUAGAUUAUUGUGUUUUUACUAAGUAUUGUGUUCGAGCCAAUCAUUUGUGGUAAUUUAAGUAGGGGUUUUAUAUUUAUUAACUAAUUAAAAAUAAUCAGUUUAAUCGGAUUUCAUGAUAAGGGUAUUUUGGACAAUUAAUUAUAUUUAAAAAAGGAAAUUUUCGAAAAUUUAAGGAUAACUAAUUCUUGUAAUUUUUAAAAUCUGAAAAUUUUAAACUAAUUCCACAGAUCGAUCAAUAGGUCCAGACACCACUUCAUGAUUAUCAAGAAAACACUCAAAUAAAAUCACGUUUAUCAAACGAGCCCUACAGGGUCAAUUCUCAAUUCUUAUUUCCGUUUCCAAAGUGUUCUCCUCCCGUGCUCCUGUCAUCUUUCACUGUGGGUGGUUUAGGAUGGAUCGCAUAGCAUGAAGAGUCGAUGAUGUAGAUGAUGGCGGCAUUGGCUGGCAGCCAAGAUGAUGAUAGUUGUAGACGAUGGUUUUUAGAGAAAGAUGGGGAAAGGGUGGUGGUGUCAUAGGGUUGUGAAACUGAUAACCUAAUUUAAAGGGAAUAUUAUUUGAUUUUAUCAAUUUACCAUAAUUAAUUACAGUAUAGAUUACUAUUAUAGUCUUAUAUUUAUUAUUCAUGAUAUAUGUUUUCUUAAAUUCUCAUUGGUUCAUACAUGCACAUAAUAGUGGUUAGAAACAUUUGCACUCAUCUCUCUCUCUCUCUCUCUCUAUAUNNNNNNNNNNNNNNNNNNNNNNNNNNNNNNNNNNNNNNNNNNNNNNNNNNNNNNNNNNNNNNNGAGAGAGAGAGAAUACUUUUUUUGUUAAAAAAGGUUUGGAGAUGCAUAGUCGUCCAAAAUUGGAUAUCUUUUGUGGUUUUGGUGCAUCAAACUUAAUUUUUGUGAAUUUGGUCCAUAAAAAACCAAAAAUAAUGAAAUAUGCCCCUUAAGUAUUUUUUUUAAUUUCGUUAAUUUAAUUCCUUUAUUAUUAAAUCCACAUCUCCAAUUGUUCACAAUUUUUUGGGUUUCAAUAUAUUUUUAGAAGAUUGGUUUUCCUAUUGUAAAUCUCCAUUUUCUCUACCUAGAGUUCGAUAUGUUGUGGCUUCAAUCUACUGAAUUUCUUGAAGACAAAAUUGCAAAAAUGGUCCUUGUGUUUGUCAAAAUUCUGUGAUUAUGGUCCAAAAAAGUUUGGUGGUGCAUCAGUAGUCCAAUUUUGGAUACCUUGUGUGCUUUUGGUCCUUAUGGUUGACAUUUUUGUGCGGUUUUGGUCCAUUGUCUACCUGAAAUGACAAAAAUACCCUUAACUGAUUCUUUUUUGUUUUCUUUUAAUUGUAUUAUUACUAUAUAAUUAAAAAUAAAUAUAAAAUAAAAUUUCAUCACUCUUAAAGACAAUAAAUCUCUCUCUCUCUAUCUAUCUCUCUCUCUCUCUCUAUCUCUCUCUUUCUUUCUCUCUCUCUCUCUCUCUCUCUCUCUCUCUCUCUCUCUCUCUUCAUUGUGUUGGAGACUGGACCACCAUCGUUAUUGAACCACCACCACCUGUUAGUCUUCCACCGCCACCGUCACUUACCCAAACCACCUAGCAUCCCUUCCAGAAAAAUGAGAUAUGUAAUUGAAAGUCAGAAAAAUAGGAUAUGAUGUUGUCGUAGAAGAUGAUGGAGCUCGACGAAGCUUUUGAGUUUUCAGUCGUUGUUCUUCAUCUUUCAGUGAUGAGGGUUUUCUGCCACCACCACCACAUUUUUUAGCUUCUGCAAAUCUCCUUCCGCUGCCACCAUUCUCAUUUUCUGAAACCCCAACGUUGUCGCCCUUAGAUAAGGGUUUUGGUUCGAGAUCUAUUUAGGGUUCUCUAUAGGGAUGUGAUGGUACCUGGUGGGGAUAGUCAUCGACAGAGAUGUCCGACAACCUAGCGUCGCCGAUCUGUUCUUUAGAACUGUUGAUUUGAUCGAUUUAGACUGGGAUGGGAUGCAAACCCAGGUCUUGGUAAAUGGUGAGAAGAUGGUGGAGCUCGAGGAAUAGUGGUGGUAGAGGGUCAUCAGGUUAAGGAAAGAGAGGUGUGUAAAUGUGGUGGGAUGGAGGUGGUUGGCAGUGAAUGGUGGUGACGAACGACGUUGGGGUGGGGUUUAAUUUUUGGGCUUGAGCACCCCUUGCACUAAUUCGGGCACUGAGUAUGUUUAUGAUCACUUUGUUUAGAUCUAAGCAAAAAAGGGAGUUGUUAAUGGUGGUUUUCAGCUUUCUUAGUGGUUUCCGGCGAGGCAGUGCUAGAAAGGACGAUAUGGGUGGGGUGGAUUACGACAAAUAGUGGUGGUGAACGAUGGUAUGGUGGCCGUUGGUGAACUUUUACUUAUUUAAUGAUUCAGAGAUGGGGGUACGGGUGAUGAAAAUGGAGGUGGUUGGCAGCAGAUGGUGGUGGUUGGUGGCGAAUGAUGGUGGUUGGCAUCCAUUAAGGGUGACAUUUCUAGUGAGUGUGUGUGUAUGUUUCUGUUGAGAUAGACGGAAGAGAAAAAGGGUAGGUGGGUCAUUUUUAUUUUUUUGUAAGUUAAAAAAAUAUAAGUUAAAUAAUUUUUAUAUUUCAACAAUUAAAGAAAAUGAAAAAUAGAAAUUAUAAGGGCAUAAUCGUCUUUUUAAGUUACAGGGACCAAAAACAAUAAAAAGAUCAAAUUUUGGACCAAUGGUGCACCAACAUUUUGUUUUGGACCUAAAACACAUAAAAUUGCCAAUCACAGGGACCAUUUUUGCAAUUUGGUCAUUUCUUGAAGUAAUAGUUUUUAUGCUUUCUUUUUAAUUCCUACGAGUACUCGAUUAGAUAGCUAUUGAACCCGUUUUAUCACCAUGGUUCUUGAAGUAUAUGGGUGUUUGAGUUUGGGUUCUUGAUUUGUUUAAUUAUUUUUACCUUGGAUUUUGAAAUGAAUUCGUGGCUUCAGGGUUUAGGCCCAAAUCCUUUAGCUUUUAAAGUUGAUAUAUUUUUUCAUAUGUAAUUUUCAUUUGAGCAUCAAGUAAUAAUAUCAAUGCAAUCUAUUCUAUAACAUGGUAUCAUAGCCAAUUUGAUUCCGUACGUUGACAGUCGAUCCAUCGGAAACCCAGCCGGUGUCGUUGUUGGGCCGGAGCCCUUAAAAAGCUUUCCCUCUCAUUUUAGAUAUCAUAUCUUCCUUAAAGUAGCCACUGCCACUCCAUUCAUUUUUCUUAUUCUAUUAUCUUACUUUUAAUCAAUAACACCAACGCAUGAUCAAAAUUUUCUUUUCUAAUUUUGUUUCUUUCUUUCUUUUGCCACCAUCCACCUUUUUUAUUAGCCGAUAUCUUUAAUUAUUAAAGGGCUUCUAUCCCAGCGGUAUCGGGUGUGCCCUGCCUCCUAGAGGUUGAGGGUUCAAAUCGCAAUGAAGACAUAGGUGGAAUUAGGAGUAGUUUUGGACUAGAGUAGAUUUGUCGUUCUAAAAAAAAUAAAUAACCCAUAAAACACAAUUUAUCUCUUUAAUAUUGAUUGCUAAUCCCAUACAAGAACUGACGAAAAUGUUUCUGGGUUAAUUAUGCUUUGAUCUUUUUGGCGAGACCUCACUUUCACCAUUGUCCUCUUCUCCUCCACCAACAACUCUCGUGCACCAGGCCAUCGUCGCCAUCACUCUGUCAUUCUGGAUUUACGCCGUGGCACCACCUUGGCACCAUCCUAUGCCUCGACCUAGCUCUCCUCAUUGACUUCACCAAGCCGCCGUCUUCGUGUUGCCUCCUUGACGACUCAUUUGCUUUGCUUCUCUCUCAUCUAAGGCUAACUUUCAUUCGCUUCUUCUCAGCAUGACGAAACUUUGUCAGUACACCAUAACUCUUCUUUUGAAUGUGUGUCACCGUCCCUUACCACCUUUGUUGCCUUCUCCACCAUCUUUUAUGCAAGUCUUACAUAACCUGACAGAACCUUAUCUUUUUCCAUCGCUGACAUCACCAGAGCUCCCGAUCUCGCGGGAACCCUAGCAACUUCCCACACCAAGUUCAUCAAAGUUCCUGUUCUUCCCUUCUCCUCCUGUUACAUCAUGCUCUCUUCGCCAAAGUCGUAAUUAUUGCAUCGCCUGAUGGAACUGUAGCUAUUUCCGACAACAUCGUCGAAGCUCUAGCUCUUACCUUCAUUACUAUCUCCUGCUCAUGUUCAAUAUUUUUUUAUUUUCUUUAUUUUUCAGUUUUGUCAUCCUCCCUAUUUUCUUUAUUGUGUCAGUUUUUUNUUUAGUUUCAUCGUCCUCUUGAUCAAAAUGCGGGGAUGUUAGAGGGCUUUAGGGUUUAGGCCCAAAGCCUUUAGGGUUUAUAGUUUAUCUAUAUAUUGGCAUGUAAUCUUCAUUUAGGCAUCAUGCAAUACUACCACAACAAUUUUUUCUAUACCACAAACCACUCAGUUUCGAUAUAACCCUCUAGAAGAUAAUAUUUAUUUUUUUGGGAUUCUUGAAAUAUUUAUUCAUCAUGCGAGAAACAUUCAUAACAUAAGUAUCUAAAAACAAAGAUGUUUAUGCUAAGUUCUCCCUUACUUAUAACCCUGAUGAAACCUUAUCAAACAUGAUCAUCACUGGUGGUGGUAAAAACCCAAAUCUAAUGAGAAAUUGGUGAACAAAAUCAAUUAAUUCAAUGUUGUUUCCAACUGUGAAAUAUAUAUGCCUAGUAGCGCUAAGAAUUUCAUGGAAAUUCAUCUUUUGUGACUUUGUUUAGUUUCAUGAACUUUAAUUAUUGAAGAAGGAGAGUUAACCAAACAUUUUAGUCUUUCUUCCACUAAUUUAUUUCAUUCUGCUACUAGUACUUUUAGAUAGUCAUUUUUAAAUACUAAUUUACACUUUAAUUAUUCCCUUAUUUCUUCCAACAGUUCACCCAUAACAUAUGAAAUCAUUUUGUUAGAUCUAAAGAUGUUUGAUGUUUCUAAUGAUAUAGAAUUCCUAGAUAUCAAUAUAGCUUGACAAAAGGGCUUCUAGCCCAAUGGUAUCUGGUGUUGCCCUCCCUCCUUGAGGUUGAGGGUUCAAGUCCCGUCGUGGACAUAGGGGGAUUUAAGGUGUAUUUUAGGAGUAGGUUAGAUUUUCCGUUUAAAAAAAUCAAUAUAGCUUGAGAAAAUUAACAGAUGAUUCCCAAAGAAAAUGAAUACACAAACAUCAUCGGUAAGACAUGAGAAACGGCUAGUAACGAAUGUAGUUGGUAUAAGCUCAAGGGGGUUUAUUUAAAAAGGUCAGUGUCCAUCAUGCUAGAUUCAAUGAAGUUGAUUCUCACUUACAGGUUGAGGGACGGAUCAAAUAUCAAAGAAUAAUUUGACAAUUUUUGAUUAUUUAUUCAUGAGGUUAAAGGAAAUAUGUUUGAAGCUCUAUGAUGAGCUUUUUUAUAUGAUAUUGUAACUUUCUCUUCUUCAUAGGUAUAUCAAUUUGGCAAAUAGUGUAACAUCCGGAUUUCCAGGUAUUGAGUAUUUAUUUUUUGAGUCAAGGAGAGGGACUCGACGAGUUGACACCUAAACUCGUCGAGUAGGAUCCCGACUGCUGACUAUGAUUAAUGAAUGGACUCGACGAGUCAGUGAGUCGACUCAACGAGUCCGCGUUGUGGAUAGAAACCCUAAAUCUUUGGGCUUGUGCCCUAUUUAAGGGUCCUUAUGGCCUUCAUUUGAGGCCACUCAUACCCUGGAGAAACUUUAGCGAGCCAGAGAUGGCCUUCAUUUGCAACCACUCAUACCCUGGAGAAACCUUAGCGAGCCAGAGAGCUUAGAGAGAGAGAGAGAGAGAGAGAGAGAGGGCUAGUUUCACCACCAUAGUGCAUUCUUGCAAGGAAGGAAGGAAGAUUCAAGCUAGGCUGCUUAGAGGGGGCUCAAAACUUCUUCUAUUUCUUCAAGGGCUUCUGUUUGAGGUAUGAAUCCAUGCCUAUUUUUGUGUAUAAAGUAGAUUUAUGGAAUCUAGGGUAUCUUUACCCUUUCUUUAGUUGGAUUAUGGAGCAUGUGAAUUCCCAUUGUGUAACAACCCGAAGUUUUCCAUCGUCGAAAACCCGUUCUACCCGUAAAGAUUCGCCGUUUAUCAAUUCGUUCCGUUUUCGUUUUGGGUUAAAUUAUUUAAACUUAUAUGUUUAUUAUAAUCUAAUGAGUUUCCAAACCCCUUAGGAACUCAUGAAAUUAGCCCAAAAUGUUUAUUUCAGAAAUUAUAGAAACGUCCCCGCCGGGUUACGGAAACUUAAUCGGGUGCGACCAAAAGCCCCGUUUAAUGCCGGUAUCGGGUAGAAUUCUACCGUGUCCAAGUUUUGGGACCUAUUUAAAUGUGUUUAAACAUUCAUUUGAAGCUUUUUCUUCCUCCCUCUACUCUCCCUUUAACCUCUCUCCUAAAUCCAAGUUUAAGGGUCCAAAUCUCAAAUUUAAGGCUUCUAAUCACCAAGGUACCUUCCCUAGCUUGUUAUGCAACCCCUCUAGCCUUCAAAUUCGAGUUCAAAUCAUGGAAUAGGACCACAUUCAUGAGUUUAUGGCCCUGGAACAGUCCUAGGCCGUGAUCUCAUAUAAAAUGGGUUUUGGAGCCCAAAAACCCUUCCAAUCGACCUUUGGAGCUUAGAUAUGGCUUAAUGGCUUAAUGGACCGGACUUAGAAUGCCUUUAACAUGGAUUUUGAAGAGUAAACAUGAGUUUAUUACCCAAGAACAUACUUGGGCCGUAAACUCAUAUAAAUGGGGUUUUUAUGCCCUUAAACCCUUCCAAAACACCAACAAGGCUUAGAUACGACUUGUAGAAUUAUGGAAUUGGCCUUGGAACACCUUGAACAUCAAUUUAGAGGAGUAAACUUGAGUUUACUGCCCAAGAACAUGCUUGGGCCGUAAACUCAUUGUUCUUGGAGAGUAAACUCCUCUAAAUGUGUUAAAAUGCCACUUUAACACACCUAAAGCCUUGGGAUAAAUUCUAGAAGUGUUUACAAACAAGUUUUGGACCUUAAAACAUAUAAAAUCAACCUUUCAUAAGAGUUCACGGCCAUGAGGGUGUUCAUGGGCCUUAAACUCCUAAAAGUAUGCCAAAAGUCCCUUAAAAAUUCAUACAAGGCUUGGGAAAAAUCAUUAGAAUCACAUGUGAUUGUUUAAGGACCAAAACAUUAAGGAUUUGAAGUGAGGGGGAGUUUACGGCCGUAAACUCCAUGUUUAAAGCCAUAAACUCCAAUAAAUGGUCCCUAUGUGUGUUAUAAGCCAUUCCAAAGCCAAAAACCCAAGUCUAGCAAUUAUUCCCGAGUGUUAUGAAGCCAUUUUGCACCCAAAAUCAACCUCCAUGAGUUCACGGCCGUGAACUCAUAUGGAUGAGGUGUUUAGGGUAGUAAACUCCCUAAAAAGUAUACUCUUGAAGAGUAAACUCAAUUCCCAAGUCCCACGCAUCAAUACACGUCCGUAGAUGUCACCCGGGUCACUCCAAACACUUGUUUUGAAGUGUUUUCGCUCAUUGGAGUGUAAUAUCCUAUCUAAUUAGAACUUAUAAAUCUAAUUAGAUAUAUUUGUAUGCCAUUUCGUAUUAUAUAGGAACCUCGCAUGUUAUUAAGCCUUGAAUCGACACUUAGCAUCCGGAACGUCGCGUUUCUCAACUGGUGAGUUCAUACCCCUACCCUUUUUCACUGUUUUCAUUGUUUUCAGGGGGGAAUACAAACAAAAGUACAAGAAAUACAUGUACUCAAAACUUGUUUUACAUACAUUGUGUUUCACAUAUAUAUANAUAUAUGCUUUUGAAACUGACAGUCGUAAUAAACAACAGUUUGAACCUACAGAACACAUUAUUAUGUUAUUUGUGAAACACAUUAUAAAUUGUUAUAUUUAUAUUUUCACAAAUGUUUUCUCACAAUAUAGCAGUUAAAAGCAUAACAUUUAAACAUAGUUUUGUCCUCGGUGAACACUCCACAGACAUCGGAAAACAUAAAACAUUUGUAAUGUCCUUAAUAAAACACCCUAGGCUCGAGUGUAAAGGACAGACACCAUUAGAAAACAUAAAACAUUUGUAAUGUCCUUAAUAAAACACCUAGGCUCGAGUGUAAGGGACAUGAUCCAUUAGAACUUAGAUAGUCAUAGAUACUACUUCCCUAGGCACGAGAAGUAAAGGUAAUCUUAAAGAUUAGAGACACGUCCUCUGUAAUACUUCCUUGGCUCGAGAGAGUGGAGGACUACCCCUGUAACCAGAAUCUUCGAAUGUAGGAGAGCAUGGAUUGAGUGUAUAGAUCUAUACGGGACUGACAAUCCCGCACCUGGCUGCUAGCUACAGUCGAACCGAAAGGUUCAACGGUGACGAAAUUCAUAAAAAAAGGAUACUGGCCCUGGCCCGAGUCAUAUCUCGUCUGAAGUAUGGUUAAGGACUCGCAAUCAAGAUUAUUAACGCUUUACCCUUAUUUAUUAGUUUUAUGUACGUAGUAAAACUAAUGUACGUUUGAGGACAAUCGGAAUCGGUAAUAGUUCGCACCUACAGAAUCGGUAACAGUACACACACACACAUUCAGGAAAACAUGGGGUUUUCCUGGGGAUAACAUUGAACAUAAUCGGAAUCGGUAACAGUUCACACACCCACACAUUCAGGAAAACAUGUGGUUUUCCUGGGGAUAACAUUGAACAUAAUUGGAGUCGGUAACAGCUCACACACCCACACAUUCAGGAAAACAUGGGGUUUUCCUGGGGAUAACAUUGAACAUAAUCGGAAUCGAUAACAGUUCGCACACACAGAAUCGGUAAUAGUACACACACAUGUAGGAAAAUAUAGGAUUUUCUUGAGUAACAGUAGUACGUAACCAGAAAAGUAUAACAGGUUAGAUAACUACACUUUACAAUUCACGAGAACAAUUACGAUUUCAGUGUACAUCUUUUACAUUACAAUUUGGAUUUGGUAAACAUUACUUUUAAGAAAAUAUGGGAUUUUCUUGGAUAACCGCUUUUUCAGGAAACCAAAGGAACUCGUAAAACUUUCAGAAAACCAACCGCUUAUGAACUCACCAGCUUUAUGCUGAUUUUCAAACCGCUUGUAUUCUUAGGUCCGCAUUAGACAUGUACCCGGUGAUCACUUUUGGCGAAGACGGAGUGCGUAGAGGACUCGUCUCAUUUUGUUCAUAUAUGUUAUGUAUCACACUUGUACAAUUUACUUUUGAAACAAAUGUAAACUUUUAUAUAUGUAAUGUAAUGGUUGUCUACUUUGCUUACUAUGUGCAUUGGUUUGAUACUCAACGUGGAGUCCGCCCCGGAAAUGUUUCCGCCUUUGGUUUUCGGGGUGUGACACAUUGAGGGAUAGAAUUUAGAUCUGGACCUUGAGAGGUUUAGAAUGUCUCAACAACCAAGCUUUAUCAUGUUACAUGAGAGUAUUGAGCCUAUGACUCCAUUUUUUGAGCUACUUCUUCAAAUAGAGCUAUAUGUGCGAUGCAUGAACGUAAAGUUCAGACCUUUACAUGAAUUUUGGGUGUUAGAAGGUCAGAUCUAGAGGUUAGAGAAACAGAUCUGACCUCAGAAGGUCAUUUGAGAAUUCUCAUGGAAGAAACUCGUCGAGUCCGUGAGCGGACUUGACGAGUUGGAUCGUGUUGCACCACGAUUCGUGAUCAGUGGUAACCCAUCGAGAAAAAAGUUAAAUCGACUAGUCAAGUAAGGCCCAAAGAGGAUUCAGAGGACACACAUGGACUCGUCGAGUCACCGAGUGCAAUCAACGAGUCUGGUCAAAGUUAGACCGUUUACUGGGUUUGACUUUUAGGGUUUGGUCAACAUUUAGACAUUGGACCAUUGGAGGGGUAAAAUGGUCUUUUUCCCCUUCUGAGAGAAUAUAGGGAGGGACUAGUCUAGCCUUUGAGAGCCGUAUUAAUUAGAGAUAAAUACUUUAUGUGAUUAGGCGGAGGCUAGAUCGGGGAUAUCGAGCACAAGAAUUUACUAGACGUCAUACAAGGUGAGUCUUCUCACUAUACCUUACCUAGAGUGGUAAUUACGUUUGACCGGAAGGUCUUAUGUGCUAUGACGAGUAUGCGAUAUAUGUUUCUAUCAGAUAUGUAUGUGUUAUGUAUGUUAUGAGUAGUAUGGUAUGGAUCGGAAGGUCAACAAGGUAUGGACCGGAAGGUCAGCAGUGAAUGGACCGGCAGGUCAAUAUGGUAUAGACUGGAAGGUUGACAGAGUAGGACCGGAAGGUCUACUCAGAUUGUGAGACCGGAAGGCCCCUGAGACACAUUGACCGGAAGGUCUCGUAGAGCUACAGCCUCGAGUGGCUUAUGUGCUGUAUGUAGUAUUUUGGGGAACUCACUAAGAAUGUAUGCUUACUGUGUUAUGUGAGAUGUGUUUUAGGUACUAGCGAGGAUCGCGGGAAGGCAUCAGCAUGAUUUAUACACACCGACAGAGGAUUUUGUAUUUGAGAUUAUGGGAUAUGUUAUACCGUGAUAAGAUUUGAUACACUUAUGUUUGAGAUGAUUUAAAAGAGAAAUGUUAUGUUUGAAAAAUGAAAAAUUGUUUUGAAAAUUCACAUCGUUACAAGUUGGUAUCAGAGCCUUGGUUUGAGGGAUUCGGAUGCACCUUCGGGCAUAUCUGAACUCAAACUGAGGAUUUGAGAAAAAAUUUCAUAAAAGAAACAAUUUUUCUAAAAAGAGAAAAAUAUUUUUGAGAAACACAGAACGGAGCAGUGUGUACGAUCAGCCAGCACCCGGACGGUGAUUUCCCAAAAUACCCUUACAUUAUGUGUUAUGAGAUAUUAUGUUAUAUGCUAUGUAUGCUAGAGUAGACUAGGUAUUCAUAUUUAGGACACGAGUUGGCCUGAUUUUUGUUGCCUUAGCCUAGGAGUUACUGCUACUAUGAGAUACUUUCGAGAGUGUGUAGGUAGCAGUGAGGAGCUUAUGAGUGGUCUACUGGAGGGUAACCUGAGUUUAGUGAUAUAUAGAGUACUUGUGAUCUGGGAUCCUAGGAGGAGGACUUGGGGUGAAUACCGAUGCGUUGUGGAAGGUAGUAUAGGGCCCGUACUUCUGGAAACAUCGGAUCGGUGAGCAGUCCAAGUAAGAAUCUUUAGGGUACUAAAGAACAAGUAUGGUUGAGUAUCGAGUGCGAGUAUACUUGAGCGAGUGUCUGAUUUUCUUGUGUUGUAUUUCAGAGACAUCAUGUUUGGGACGCACCACAACCCAGGAGGCAGUGGUACCAGUGGUACCAGCGAUGAGGAGAUCCAUAAGUUGAUUCAUGAGGAGGUGGUCGCAUCCAUACGAGCUGAGAUUCCUGAGACGUUUGGGUCUAUCAAGACCACUUUGAUUGAGAUGUUUGACCAACAGUGUGCUUCUCUUACCGUGGCUGGUGUUACUGCAGCCACCGUAGCCUUCGCCAGUGCUAGGCCAUAGGGGGUGACUCGUUGCUGUACCGAGAGUUCAGCAACACGAAGCCACCAGAGUUUGAUGGGACUCAAGAUCCGAUAGCCGCGAUGAGGUGGAUCUCUGAGAUUGAGGGAUGUUUCUACACUUGUUCCUGUCUGGAACAUUUGAGAGUACGGUUCGCACUGAACCAGCUUCGCUUGGGAGCGGAGGACUGGUGGAAGUUUGUGAUAACAGAUUUUACUCCUACAGAGCUUACCGCGGUGACCUAGGAGAGGUUCAUCACUAUGUUCAGAGACUAGUAUGUUCCCCGGUGGAGAGGGAACGUUUGGCCCAGGAGUUCUUGUCCCUUAAGCAGGGGACAGAGUAUGUGACGAUGAUCACGCAAAUGUUUCAUGAGAGGGCGUUGUUCUGCCCUGAGCACGUGUCUACUGAGCAUGCACGCAUGAGUCAAUAUUUGAGCAUACUGAGGAGAGACAUUCGGUAGUUCGUGGCGAACUCGACGUACCGAACAUUUUCCAAGCUCCAGGAAAAUGCUCAGAAGAGGGAGAUUAAGCUAGAGACUUAGGCCACGGAGGAGGCCGAGUCUCACAGGAGGGACAGGCGGCCGGUGCAGUCUUAACCGACAGCCAAGCGGGCAAAGCCCGACGAUAUGAGAUCUGGAGGCCAGAAGGGCCGCACUUGUGGGAAGUGCGGUAAGGGAAAUGAUGAAGUUUAUCGAGCAGGUGCUUGCUAAAAAUAUGGCAAGGAGGGGCAUAUAGCCAAGGAUUGCCCCAAGGGAUUUUUGGUUUGCUUUCAUUGAAACCAGACUGGCCAUCGGAAGGCCGAGUUCCCACAGCUACUUUAGGGAUUAACAUAGGGAUCUGAACCUGCUAGAGCUACCGAGGCCCGGCCAGUGAAGGCCGAGGCACCGAAGGCUCGCGGGAGAGCCUUUCAGUUGACAACGGAGGAGGUCCGCGCAGCACCUGAUGUCGUGGCUGGUAUGUAUUCUUUUAUUUACGUAUACUGAGUUUGAGAUAUUGUGCUUAUUAUGUGGUAUGCAUAGGUAAUUUUCUUGUGAGUUAUGUACCUGCUUUGGUGUUAUUUGACUCGGGUGCAAGUCAAUCUUUCGUGUCAUUAGCGUUUAGCCAGCACAUCAAUACCGGACAAGAGGCGUUGAGUCGACCUCUACGAGUUUGUAUAGCUAACGAGCGAGCGGUUUAUGCUACUGAUGUGAUUCGAGGAUGUGUACUCGAGAUUUUCGGUGUUGAGUUCCCGAUAGAUAUGGUACCGAUUGCGCUGGGUGAUGUCUGUGUCAUCGUGGGCAUGGACUGGUUGAGCCGAUUUGGAGCUGCUAUAGACUGCGAGUGGCGGUUGGUGACCAUACGAGACCCUAGUGGGGAGUACUUACGGUGUAUGGCGAGGGUACCCGGUCUGGGUCAGCAUUUUGUUCGGCUGCCAGAGCGAGACAUAGUCUAUAGAAGGGUUGUAGAGGGUUUGUAGCCUAUGUGAUGGAUACACGAGUCGCCACAGAGAGGACGAGUUAUGUCGGUAAGGUACCGAUAGUGCAAGAGUUUCCAGAUGGUUUUCCCGAGGAGUUGCCGGGGGUGCCUCCCGAGUGGCAGGUGGAGUUCCGUAUCGAUUUGGUUCCGGGGGCAGUGCCUAUUGCCAAGGCUACUUAUCGCCUUGCACCACCGGAGAUUGAUGGGUUUUGGUCAUAAGAACAUCCUAUGUGCUCAUACAAACCCUAAUGCUUGGAUCUAGGUUUCUCUAUUGUACAUGAAAGUUAUCGAAGACUAUAAACCCUAAUUCUAGCAUUCAAGUAAUCAUAUUAACAUGAGAAUAGGUUUAAGAUCAUACCUUGAUUGUUAUGUAGCAAUAACAAUCUCAAUUCCUACUUGUAUUGACUUUAGAAAGCUUAGAGUCACAAAUGUCACUCCUCUAAUGGUUCACAAACACCAAAAGCAAGAGGAUGAAGAUGAGAGAGGAAGGAGGUUGCCCUAAAACGUGUGAAACCCUAAAAGGACGCUUAGCCACGUUUUUGGGUCAUAAGGGAUGUAUAUAUAGUUAGGCUAUUAGGGUUAUCUAACAAGGAAACCCUAAUUUGGAUGCUUAAGCCCUAAGCAACCCAUAGAUUCCUUUCCUUAAGGCCUUGGACGAUUUCCUCAUGAGCUUUCCCAUAGAAUUCGUCCACUCCUUAAUAUAAGGCAAUCCAUAGCCCAAAUUGAAAUUAUCUUAUAAUUACAAUUCCAGUCCCUUAAGUUUAAUUAAUCUUUUUUAGUCACAAAACUAAUUACCAAUUAAUUCUUGGCUAAUAUUAAUUAAAACAAUAUGAUUUCUCCUUUAAUAUAUUAUCCUCAUAAUAUAUUAAUAAAUCAUAUUUAAUACUUUCUCUCCAUAAUUCAUCCUAUCAAGUUGCUUUGGUGAAGGCAACCCAAAAGGACCAUGCACCAUCGGGUCAAGUACAUACCAAAAUAGUUAUGGACUUAGAAACUAAUCCAACAGAGAUGCAGGAGGUAUCCUUGCAGCUUCAGGAGCUGUUAGGGAAGGGAUACAUUCAACCGAGUAGCUCGCCAUGGGGAGCGUCGAUCCUUUUUGUAAAGAAAAAGGAUGGGUCACACCGGAUGUACAUUGAUUACUAGGAGUUAAACACGUUAACGGUCAAGAACUAUUAUCCAUUCCCAAGGAUCGAUGAUCUAUUCGAUCAAUUGUAGGGUGCGUCUUGGUUUUCCAAGAUAGAUUUGAGGUCUGGAUAUCACCUGAUUAGGGUGCAUUAUGAGGAUAUCCAGAAGACGGUGUUCAGGACUCGUUAUGGAUAUUAUGAGUUCGUGGUGAUGCCUUUUGGGCUCACCAAUGCACCAGUGGUGUUCAUGGACCUCAUGAACCGAGUAUGCAGGCCGAUGUUGGAUCGAUCGGUGAUUGUGUUCAUCGACAACAUUCUAGUGUAUUCGAGGACCAGAGAGCAGCAUGAGGAGCACCUGAUGGAAAUCCUUGGCGUAUUGAGAUCGGAGAGGCUUUACGCCAAAUUCUCCAAGUCUGAGUUCUGGUUACGAGAGGUCCAGUUCUUGGGACAUCUCGUUAAUCGGAAUGGGACAUUGGUCGAUCCGACCAAGAUUGAGGAUGUGAUGAGUUGGGAGGUGCCGAGAUCCCCCACCAAGAUCAGGAGUUUUCUGGGGUUGGCCGACUACUAUCAGAGAUUUAUCCGGGAUUUCUCCAUGAUUGCCUUUCCCCUCACCAGAUUGACCCGGAAGGGCGUUGCUUUUUCUUGGGGUCCAGAGCAGCAGACCUCAUUUGAGACCCUUCGCUAGAGACUAUGCGAAGCCCCAGUGUUAGCCCUUCCGGAGGGAAUGGAGGAUUUUGUGGUGUAUUAUGAUGUGUUUAUAUCGGGGUUGGGUGCGGUGCUCAUGCAGAGGGGGCACAUGAUAGCAUACACAUCGCGGCAACUGAAACCUCAUGAGACGAGGUAUCCCACCCACGAUUUGGAGUUGGGGGCAGUAGUGUUCGCCCUCAAGAUAUGGCACCAUUAUCUGUAUGGGGUUCGGUGUACUGUAUACAUGAACCACAAGAGUUUGAAGUAUAUGAUGGAUCAACCUAACCUGAACAUGCGUUAGAGAUGGUUGGACGUGGUAAAGCAUUAUGACUGUGAGAUCCUGUACCACCCAGGCAAGGCUAACGUGGUAGCCGAUGCUCUGAGUUGCAGGGUGGAGAAUGCCCCGAUUCGAGAUAUAUGCAUGAGGAUGACAGUGAUGACUCCGGUAUUGGAUACCAUCCGAGAGGCCCAGGUAGAGGCUGUGAGACUAGAGAACCUCAAGAGAGAGCGGGUGGUUAAGCAGGUAUCCAAGUUUGUGACGGAUAGUUGAGGGUUGAGGACCUUUCGAGGUCGGAUAUGGGUGCCUUAUACGGGCGGGGCACGUAGCACUCUGAUGGAGGAGGCGCAUAGAUCGAGAUUCUAGAUCCAUCCCAGGGCCAUUAAGAUGUAUUUAGACCUAAAGAGAGACUAUUGGUGGCCCUGUAUGAAGAGGGAUGUUGCAUGGGUAGUAGAGAGGUGCUUGACCUGUAGGCGGGUUAAAACCGAGCACUAGCAUCCGCAUGGCAAGUUGCAGCCACUAGAGGUUCCCCAGUGGAAGUGGGAACAGAUUUCUAUGGAUUUUAUCACCAAAUUACCGAGGAUCGUGAGGGUGUUGAUGCAAUUUGGGUGAUUGUGGACCGACUAACGAAGAGCACUCACUUCCUUGCUAUCAGUGAGAGCUCUUCUACAGAGAGACUGUGAAAAAUAUAUGUUAGAGAGGUGGCGUCGCGGCAUGGAUUGCCGAUCUCAAUUGUGUCAGACCGAGAUGUACGUUUUACUUCCAAGUUCUGGAAGAAGUUUCAUGAGGAGUUGGGUACGAGAUUGCACUUCAGUACUACCACAGACAGAUAGCCAGAGUGAGCAAACGAUAUAGACACUCGAGGACAUGCUUUGAGUAUGUGUUAUGGACUUUGGCGGAGGUUGGGACACAUACCUACCUUUGGCCGAGUUUUCUUACAACAACAUCCAUAAUUCGAGUAUUGGUAUGCCUCCCUUUGAGCUUCUUUAUAGGAGGAGGUGUCGAACUCCCAUCUGUUGGGGAGAGGUAGGGCAGCGAGUGAUGGGUAGCACUAAGAUAGUGCUUAAAAUGACUUAUCAGAUACAACAGGUCAGACAGAGGUUACUGACAGCCCAUAGUCGUCAAAAGAGAUAUGCGGAUAGGCGGCGAUCCGAGCUCGAGUUCUAGGUUGGAGAUUUUGUACUCCUGAAGGUAUCUCCUUGGAAAGGAGUGAUCCGAUUCAGGAAGAGGGGAAAGUUGGGGCCCCGGUACAUUGGUCCAUUUAGGGUGACCAUGAGGGUAGGUAAGGUAGCAUACCGUAUGGAGCUACCCGAGGAGUCAAGUUAGAUCCAUGACACACUCCAUGUAUCCAGUUGAGGAAGUGUAUAGCAGAUGAGACCGCAGUUGUGCCGCUAGAGGAUAUUCAGGUGGACGCGAGUUUGAAUUACAUUGAGAGGUCGAUCGCAAUCUUGGAUUGAAAGAUCAAGGUUCUGAGGAACAAGGAGAUUCCCCUGGUUUAGGUCCAAUGGCAACAUCACAGAGGGUCCGAGCUGACUUGGGAGCCAGAGAUGGAGAUACAGGAGCAGCAUCCAGAGUUGUUUGCAGAGCGAGACUUCAAGGGCGAAGUCUGAUUCUAGUGGGGGAGAAUUGUAACAUCCGGAUUUCCAUGUAUCAUAAAUUGAGUAUUUAUUUAUUGAGCCAAGGAGAAGGACUCGACGAGUUGACGGCUAGACUCGUCGAGUAGGAUCGCGACUACUGACUAGGAUUAAUAAAUGGACUCGACGAGUCGGUGUGUCGACUCAACAAGUCCGCGCUGUGGAUAGAAACCCUAAAUCUUUGGGCUUGUGCCUUAUUUAAGGGUCCUUAUGGCCUUCAUUUGUGGCCACUCAUACCCUGGAGAAACCCUAGCGAGCCAGAGAGCUUAUAGAGAGAGAGAGAGAGAGAGAGAGAGAGAGAGAGAGAGAGAGCUAAUUUCACCACCGUAGUGCAUUCUAGCAAGGAAGGAAGGAAGAUUCAAGCUAGGCUGUUUAGAGGGGGCUCAGAACUUCUUCUAUAUAUUCAAGGGCUUCUGUUUGAGGUAUGAAUCCAUGCCUAUUUUCGUGUAUAUAGCAGAUUUAUGGAAUCUAGGGUUUUUUUACCCUUUCUUUAGUUGGAUUAUGGAGCAUGUGAAGUCCCAUUGAGGGAUAGACUUUAGAUCUGGACCUUGAGAGGUCCAGAGUGUCCUAACAACCAAGCUUUAUGACGGUUUUGGAGGCUCCUCUAGGGUUUAUGAAAGCCUCUUGGUUGCAAAAAGGAAACAAUUUGAAUUAGGAUUAAAUAUAUUAUUUAAUCAAUUCAGAUUCUGCUUUGCUUGCAUGUUACCUAAACUAUAAAUAUGACCCUAAUGCCAACAAUUUUCAUUUAUGACCUUCCUAAUAAUCAUAGGAACCAAGUUUAUUCCUUUAUCCUAUAUCUCCUCUUCAUUAUAUGGUUUCUAGGAUUUUGGGUGUGAGCCAAUAGAGGCAUUACAUUUAUGGUGCUUGCUUUCCAAGGUUUUCAAGUAGUAUAUUUGUAACACCCUGUUUAGGAUCAUUCUGUAAUUCAGGUCCGUGGACCAAAAUUUGAUUAUGUAAAGGCUUUGGAUCUUAAGUAGGCGAUGUCUAGACCUUUUAGAAGGAGUUAUUGAUGGUUAUGAUAUCUAAACCGUUAAAUUGGGUUUUAGAGUCAAAGGGUAAAUCGAGAAAAGUCAUAGGCGGGUUCUUGCAUGAAAUAUGAACUUUUUUCGAGAAUUUUUUAGUCCAAUAUGUUUAGAUAAUAUUGUAGAUCUCUUUAAUAUCUUUUCGUGGAUAUAAAGAACGUCAAAAUCAGAGUUAGAACGAAGAAGUUAUGCCCACAUGAAGUUUGGUCAGUUUUGGGUUAUGCGGAGUAUGUUUGGUCGAUUUUGGGUUAUGCUGAGUACACUCUUAAUGGAGUUUUGGGAUUGGGUUGUGUAAGUUAGGCGUACCUGGUGGUACACUGCACGUACUCAGUCAACGCCCUUCUUUUGGUCAACAUCAGAGUACGAUGGGCGUACUCUCUUACUACACACGGCGUACUACGUUGGGAAGAAAUAUUGACUUUUUGGACCUUUACCAUUGCCUUUUACUUUAAACAGGGUUGACCUAAGGGUAUUGUGGUUAUUUUGGUAUUUUUAUUGUGAUUGAUCACUUGGGUGGUUAGGUGUCGGUUGAAGCGGAGAUUCGACGUAGGGGCCUCAUCAGCUAUUGGUCAGACCGAGAUGUGAGUCAUUCCUUACUGUACUUACGAGUCGAAGGCACCAAGGCUGGCUCAUUGGAUUAUAUAUCAUGUUAAGUUAUAGUAAAUUAUCGUGCGGUAGUAAUCUAUAAGAUCUGUAUCUUGGUAUAUAGGAUAAUGUUAUGCUUAGUGAUUUGUAGAUCUGUCUGAUUGUUUGUUAACUAGUUAUAUGCUUAUUUGUUGUAUAUGUUGACAUAUUGUGGUGGGUUGAGACUGUACUACUUUGUGCAUCAGUCAACAGACUAGGGCACUCCAACGUCGAUAGGUUGUGUGUUGGGGUAAUCCAACCUAGAUAGGUUGUGGACCCAGUAUGAAUGGGCAUUCCAACCUCAAUAUGUUGUGGUAUGGGGGUAAUCUAACCUCGAUAGGUUGUGGAUCCAGUAUGUAUGGGCAUUUCAACCUUGAUAGGUUGUGGGUCGGGGGUAAUCCAACCUCAAUAGGUUGUGGAUCCAUUGUAUAUUGGCAUUUUUCCUAGGGUAUUCCAUCCCGAGGAUGAUCAAACCCGACAUGUUGUUGUAUAUGUUAUUAGUCUAUGCGGUGGUAUUUACGGGAAACUCACUAAGCUUUAUGCUUACAGUUUUAGUUUAUAGUUUCAUGUACUUUAGAGGACCUUGACCAGGCAAAUGCGUGACUGUACACAUCCUGAUGUUAUGUUGUUGAUCUUGGGAGACUCUGAUUUUAAGUAAUGUUUUGGAAACAAUGGUUUUUUAAACACUUUUAUUAGUUAAUGAGUCGUUUUGAGAAAAUUAAAAUUUGUUGUAAUUUUUGGGGAUGUUACAAGUUGGUAUCCAAGCCUUGGUUUGAGUGAAUUGGAGGAACAUUUGUGUGAAUCCCGUCUCAAACUAAGGAAAUGAAAAGGUUUUAAAAAUAUUUUUGAAAAUUGUUUUCAAAAAAAUCAAGAAAGGAUGCGAUGUGUACGGUCAAUCGGAGCCAGUAAGUAGACCCCAAAUUACCAAAUUCUUAUUUGAUAUUGUCAGAUAUUAUAACAACAUUCUACUGAUAGGCUAGGGAUCUUCAGGAAUUACAUGAUAAAAUUACAUGAUAAUAUGAUGCUUGAUAGCCAAGGGCCUUCCUUAUAUGACGUUGACAUCAUUACUGUAGUUUCUUAAGGUAUGCAUCAUAGUUGUAUACAACUAAGAUUCUAUAGCCUGAGAAUUUCUGGUUUAGCCUUAUUUCAUGUUCGUGUUUGAUGAAGGGCUUAGGGUAGAAUCGAGUAUUCUACUGACUAUAGGAUCUAGUAUUAUGUACGAUUAGCAUACACGAGUGCUGCAGAGUUGGUGGAAGUUUCAUGAGUGGGUGCAAUUCAUAGCGGGUCAUUGUGAGGAAUUAUUGGCCCCUUUUGAUAGAGUGAGGGCGGGAAGAAGGUGUAUCCAAGAUGUCGGGAUUCAGAGAUUGAUAAGUUCGUAUGAGCAUUUGUCUGAUUUUUUUGUUCUUUAGAGUCAGUCAGCUCUAGUGCUCGAAUGUUGCUUGCUUUGUGCUUUGUGGGACUCACAUUGAUGUCAGCUAACUAUCAGAUUAAUACAUUAAGUUACGUAUUAUGGAGGUUAAAUAAUCUUAGAGAGAAAGGGUUGACCCUAUUGUGCAGCUCUCGUUUAAGUCUAACCGUUGUGGGGUUGAGUCCUUUAUUCGAAAGGUUAUUUAAGUUUUGUUGCAUGUAAUUAUGUUCAUGAAAUGGUUAGCUGACAUUGGUUGGAGUCCUUCAGCAGCUGAUGGAAGGGGAGGUGGGAAAUCUUAGGAGAGCCUAGGAAGUAUUUUAAUGCGGAUGUUUCGCUUUGGAGCAGGUACUAGGAAUAUGUUUAUGAGUAGGUCUUUGGGACCUGAGAUGAUUCUUGAGGAAAGUAUGGAUAGGUGUGGAAGGUAGUAUUACACCCGUGGAAGCAUAGGAUCCAUACUCGAAUUUAGGAGAGUUUUGGGGAUUCUAAGGGCUGGUCGAGAAAGAUAGCAUGGUUUGAUACCAUGAUUCGUGGUAGUGGCAAAAGAUCUGUCAAUCUUUUGGCUAUGGUUGCUUGGGCUUGAGUAUGGAUAUGGUAAUUGUUAUGGGCCUCAGUGGCUAUAUCGAUUUAGGUUCAAUGGUGCAGGCCUUGAUGAUUUUGUCAGUUCUUGAGGUUUCCAGGGUUUUACUCGAGACUGUGCAUUCAAGUCGCAAAACUCAAGAAGAAACGAUAGUUCUGAUUGGCUUGGCGAUUUCAGCUGGAAGCGAGUGGUUGAUCAAUGGAUUCGGAUGUCACUAUCUUUAGCGGGGAUUUUCCCUUUCAGUCUUUCAGGUUCGAGGAGGAGUGAGCAGGCUUGUGACUUUCAGUGUUCGGAUGUAAACCGAACAUGGGUACUGUUGGUGGCGGUGUUUGGACACAGGAUGUCAACAUGUGUGCAGGUGGGUUGAUGUGGUAUGGAUAUUUUGUGAUGUGAUCAGGGUUCUGUAUCCUUCGAAUUUAGGCAAGUCAGCUACCGGUUUGACGGAUGAGAUUGCUGGCAAAGAGGGUAUGUUUGGAUCGGAAGUCGGUAUUGGCUUAUGCUCUUGCAAGAAAUCCUUAAUGUUAAGUGGUUAUAAUUGGGAAUUUCAGAGGUCUUCAGCUGAAUCCAUAAUUCUCUUAGAUUUUUCUUUAUCCUUAUCUGGAAGAUCAUCCUGCAUGUGUUAUUCAUUCCAAGGUCAAGGAUUCUUGUACUUGGUUAAGCCAAUUUGAGUUAUGGUUUGGUUUCAGCACCAGCAUGUGGUAGUCCGAACCCUAUGUGGGGGAGAUAUGGGUAUUCUGCUUGUAGGAUCAUCGAUCUGUUUAGGUUCGUAGUAUUUAGAGAAUGGUUCCUAGGGAUUUAUGGUGGGAAUAUUGGGAUCUCAGCUUAGGAUUUGGUCAAGGUAGGGGUAUAUAAUGGGUGGUGAUCGGAUGCAUGUGUUCAAGAGACACAUGAGUUGUCCCCAGGAAGAAAGUGGUUGGUCAAGGAGCUCGUUGCAUCUAUUGGUUCCUUUUGGGGAUGCCAACGAAUGGAUAGGGAUCCGCUGGGAUCACUUAUGUUGAGUAUCGGGUGCUGAGGGAAUUGCCAGCUUGUUGUAGGAAUUUCUAUUCAUUUUCUAGCAUAGGCAUAGGAAGAUCAAGGUAUCAGUAUCUAGGUGGAGUACGUUCAUCCCCGUGUGGGAUUGGGUUGUUAGAUCUGAUGUCAAGGCGUCCUUGAUCAUUGCUUGCUUCGUUUGUUAUUCAUCGGGGAAGUCGCAGUAGUAUUUCCAGCGGGGAAUCAAGAUUAAUAUGUUUUAUAUCCCUUUGGUCUUCGGGUAGGGUUACCCUCAAUGAUGGUGUGGAAUUUUAGUUCAUAGCCAGCUUGGGUUGGGUGGCAUUCAGGAUCACUUUAGAAGUCUUCUCGAGUUGGUUGAGUAUUGGUGGAAUCUAUUCAUUCUCAAUCAAAUAUGGGAUCUUGUUGUGAUUAAUCAUGACGAUGUCUUAUGUUAAUGAUUGAGGCUUGUCGUUCGAUAGAAAUAUGGUAUCUAUGCUCUUUUGGAUGAGGUUAUGGGUUCCAUAAGGAUCUUUAUUGUGGUAAUUCAUUGUAUGUAUGUAGGAUGGAUAAUAUAGAAUUGGGGCUUGGUUCGAAUUAUACACAUGGUUCUUUUGGGUGAUAGCCUUUGAAUUAGAUCAAGGGUACAAUCUUUAUCCUGUUCUCGGGUCGUGGGCGGCCAUGAUUUUCAUCGAGCUCUGUAUUGGUAGUAGCUAGUUCUGUGAAAGAAAUUAGGCAUGGUAUGGUUAUGGAUUUGUUGUGCAGUUAAGCAUUGAUAGGGACGUUGUUUAAGUCCCUGCAAUGCGGUGGAAAGAGAUUGAGAAUCUUUUGGACCAUGGUGUGGGUUGCGAGUUCCAGGCGAAAUGCGUAUUGUUGACAAGAUCGGCGUAAUUGUUGCAGCAUUCCAGACUCAUGCUAUGGGCUCGGUGGUAAUCCAAACCUAUGUUGAGGACCUUGUAAGGGUAUUCCAGACAUAGGUUGUUGGCCCAGUGAUCAUCAUUGUUGAUUUCUUCUUAUUAUGGUAAUUUUGGUAUGGGUGCAUUGAUGGAAAUCUAGAGGCACACAAAUCAGCUGGUUUGGAUAAAGGGAAUAGUUAAAGGUUGUUGGGAUAAUUAGUCGUAUAUCAGAAAGUUUUUUGAAAUGUUUGCAUUAUAAUCUUGUUUGCUCGCAAGAUGUUAUGAGGGGUUGAUUAUCAAGGUUGGGAAUCAGUUAUGAAGUCUCAAAUCUAAAGUUCUUCGUUAAUGUACCGGGUGUUUUGCUAGAUGGAGGUACACUUGAAUUGUUAAGGAUUGGAGGUAAAUGUGGAAUUAUUGGAAUUCUCAUCUUUACUCGUAGGAUCAGUGGUUGUGGCGUGUCUGGGAAUCACAAGUUAAUUAAAGGCUUUUGGUGCAUCUUAUGGAUUUGGGAUUAGUAAGAAAUUCGUGAUUGAUGUGUUUGGGUUCUUUUCAGAUAAGGUAUUGGAUUCCUGGUUUUGAGAUGAGUAGUGAUGGUUGUCCUUUAUCAAUUAACAUCAGCAGGAGCAAGGGUUCAUCUGACGACAAUAUGUCAAUUCUGCUUAAAUGGGUUCGAUUAUUGGAAGGCCAUCGUAUGUUAGCAUCGACUUUUAUCAAGGAUCUAGAAAGGUGGUCGGGGUAUAUGUUUUCGAUUAUCUAUAAAUUUGUUUAGGCCAGAUACGUUUGUUCGGUUCGGGUUGUGAAUUUGAGUCUUUGUGAGAGCAAUUUUGAUUAGUUCUAUCUGUCUUGGACUCCGACAUUGUUCAGGGUUUUCAGUUUCAGGUACAACGGUUGGAUACUCGUUGGCUUAGGGAAAAGUUGAGGUUCAUUAUUCGUUAGGGCUUGUGAUAUAUUGUAUUUUCGGUUCGACAACGGUAUGUGUGGGCAGUCAUCAGAGCGAGGUGACUUCCCCAGUCAUUUUUGGGAUUCAUGGAGUUCAAUCAGGAUCAUUUAGUUCGGUAAAGGAGAUAGUAUGGAAUGAUUUCAAGGACAAAAUCUAAUUUAAGUGGAGGAGAGUUGUCACACCCUGUUUGAGAUCAUUCUGUAAUUCAGGGUCGUGGACCAGAAGUUGAUUGUGUAAAGGCUUUGAGCCUUAAGGAGGCGAUGUUUAGAACUUUUAGAAGGAGGUAAUGAUUGUAAUGAGAUCUAAACCUUUGAAUUUUGUUUUGUAGUCAAAGGGUAAAACGGGAAAAGUCAUAUGGCUUCUUGCAUGAAAUAUGGAUUUUUGUUCGAGAAGUUUUUAGUCUAAGAUAUUUAGAUAAUAUUAUAGAGCUCCUCAAUACCUUCUCGUGGAUUAUUGCACUAAAGGCCCAAGGAAGUGAAUUAAGGUUUACAAGCUAAAACACUAGGAAUUCCAUACUAUAAAUGUAACCCCUAGCAUCACCAAAAUGUCCCCUAAGAGUUCCAAGAAGAACCCUAGCCGUUUUGUGUGCCUCCUAGCCUCUCUCUCAUUAUCCUCCAUUGUUGGAGGUGAUUGUGACUCAUUUGAGGCAUCACAUUUGAGGUGCUAAGCUCUUUAAAUGUCAAGUUUACAAGCUACAACAAAGAGGUAUUCAUCUAACUAGAUUUUUAUGUUUCAAAUAUCAAACUUGUAUACUAGUUGUAGGUUUCAUGCUUUGGAUAAUUUUAUUGCAUGUAUAACUUGAGAAAACUUAGAUCCAAAGCAUUAGGGUUGUAUAUGUACCAUAGGGAUGUUAUAGUUCUCAAAACCCAUCACUUUACACACAUGCAUUGCUUAAUGGGGCUCAAGAGCUCAAAAAGAGCUUAAUAAAGGUGUUAACAUAUGCAUGGGUCCAAAUGCUCCAUAAAGUUGACAUUUUUAUGAACUUAUGGACUGAAUGGAGCUAAGAUCUAGCAUCUAUUGCCUCUGGAGUAGAUCAAAAGCUCUCCUUUAAUACAAAGGACUAAAAAAUAUGCACAAAUGUUCCAUGAAUUAUAUCUAACAUAGAAGAGCAUAAAGAUGCAAGCUUUUUACCUCAAAAUCUUGCAAAAGUAGAAGUGAUCUUGGAUCUACAAGCUCAAUCAAAUUCUUCAAGGGGUUCUUCUUCUUCUUCACCUUAAGACACCAAAAUCUCUUUAUCAAGCUCAAAACUCACCAAAACACUCUAGGGUUUCGUUUCUGGGACAAGGAGAGGUGCAGGCUAGCUAAACAUGUCCAAACUCACCUAUAAUGAGGUCACCUAAAGAAUAGGGUUUGUCUCAGACUCACCUAUGCCAUGCGUACACCAUGUACUCCCCGCGUAUAGGGUUAAGUCUCAUCACAAGAAAUAUGGCUAGUACGCUAAGCGUACCCAUUGAAUACGCCCCACAUACUAACCAAUGGACCAAUUUUGAAAGAAAUUUGCAUUAAGGACUAAAAAGGGAAACUUGCCAACAUGAAUGUUACAAUAAUUUUGGAUGAUUUUUAUGGCAUGAAAAAUCAUACAAAAUUAUAUAUAAUGUGUUUAGUUAUAUAUUUUAUGUUGUUUAAAACUAGUUUUAAUAACAUAAGAAUAUAUUAACAGACAUCAAAGUUUAAGUGUUAAAGUAUAUGUAUUUCGUCUUAAUCAAACAUUCAUUAGAAACAUGUUUAUGACACACCAUGCUUAAGUAACAAUAAGUGAAUAUUAUCGCUAAUGUUGAUAGUGAAACCCCCCUCUCUAGGGUAUUUUUAAAAUUAUUAUAAAAUCACUGAUUUUAUGUAAAAAUGAUUUGUAUCUCAAUUUAUGUGGAAAAGUAUAGUCCCAAUAUGUUUUAAAAUACUUAAGAACAUUUUUGUACGAAAUUAGGUCCCAAUGUAUCAAAAUAUUUUUUUUGUUAAAAGCGCAAGGUAGAAACCAAUUUAAUAAUCAUCACAAUUUCAAAUACAACCUCACAAUAUGAGGCCUUAAAAAUGACAUCGUUGUCAUAUAAGCAAGUGCUAACUAUUCAAUCUGAGUAUAAAUCAAAGUAAGUUAGGUAAUGAAAUGCCUAGUGAGAAUAGUUAGGUUGAGUCGUUUAGAGUAAUGAUGAUGGAAAUCAUCAUACAUGAGACUAACCCGAAAAAUCAAUUUAAAAUCAAUAAAUUCCACAAGUAUUAGUAAUCCAAAAUGUAGAGUACUAAGACUCAAACAGGAGAGAGUAAGGGUAUAUGAACUUAUAUUAGAAUCCAAGGAUAAAAAAAUCCAUAAUUCAAAAUCAAGAGAGUUUAAUAACUAAAUUUAUUUAUCCAAGGAAGGUAAUACCAAAAUCAAUAUCAAGGGCUAACUAACCCACCAUCUUUAACAAAAGAACUGGUAUUCCAUUAUCCUAAGCAAAGGGUUAAUUAACCCAUAGUUCCCAAUAAAAUAUUUAAUCUUUCCAUAAACCAAAUCAUAAGAAUCAAUACCCUAUAACUUGGGAUUUAACGACCCAAUUAGAAAUCAAAGGGUUCUAGUAACCAAAUACAUCCAAAAGGUUAAUCUAUAACCCAUCUAUAUAAAUAAAAUCCAAAGCUUAACAUUAAUUAGCAAAGAUUAACAACAAUAAUAAACAUCAAAAGGAUAAUCAAGGAAUAAUUCUACAAACUCAAUAUACCAUUUAUGAGGCGAAUUAACUCAUGUGAUUGCAUACACUUCGAGGCUACUAAAUCCUCAUGAGGCAAUUUACACUAUGCACAAUUUAGAGUUGGGGGUAGUGGUGUUUACCCUCAACAUUUGGCGAGAUUACCUCCAUGGGGUGGACUACACUAUCUACAUGGAUCAUAAGAGCUUGAGGUAUUUGACGGAUCAACCGAAUCUAAACAUGAGGUAGUGUACAUGGUUGGAUGUGAUAAAGAAUUAUGAUUGUGAUAUCCUUUAUCACUCGGGAAAGGCGAAUAUGGUGGUCAAUUCUCUCAGUCGCACGGAGGUCGCUCCUCCGAUCAAGGAUAUGUGUUUGAGGAUGAUAGUGUUUACACCACUAUUAGAGCAGAUUAGAGAAGCUCAGGUUGAGGCUAUGAAGGAAGAGCAUCAGAAGAGUCAGCGCAUGGUGUGGGUUCCAUACUGGGGUGGUACGCAUCAGAUUCUGAUGGAGGAUGCGCACAAGUCGAGGUUUCUAUUCAUCCCAGAGCAAAAAAAAUAGAGAACUCCGACUUGAAUACUGGUGGCCACCCAUGAAGCAAGAUGUGGCAAUGUAUGUAGAGAUGUGCUUGACUUGUAGGAAAGUCAAGGUCGAGCAUCAACGUCCCGAAGAUAAAAUGGAGUCGUUGGAUAUUCCUUUUUGGAAAUGGGAAGAUAUUAUGAUGGAUUUUAUCACCAAAUUUCCUAAGACGGUGCAAGGAAUGGAUUUGAUAUGGUUUGUUGUGGAUCGAUUGACCAAGAGCGCUAUCUAGAUUCAAAUAAGCAUCUCUUCCAAAAAGUUGGUAGACAUAUACAUUUGAGAGGUUGUGGCAUGGAAUGGGGUGUUGGUUUUUGUGGCCUCUGGUAGGGAUGUUCGGUUCACUUCCAAGCUCUAGAAGAGAUUCGACGAGGAGUUGGGUACUCAACUACAUUUUUGUACAACUUUCCACCAGCAGAAUGAUGGUCAUAGUGAGCGGACUAUCCAAACCUUGGAGGAUAUGCUCCGGGCUUGUGUAUUGGAUUUUGGUGGGAGUUGAGGUACGUACCUCCCUUUAGCGGAGUUUUCGUAUAACAAUAGUUAUCACACCAGCAUUGAUCGACCUCCUUUUGAGAUGUUCUACGGGAGAAAGUGUAGGACCCCGAUAUGUUGGGGUGAAGUCAGUCAACGAGUCAUGGGGAAUACGGAGGUGGUACUCAAGACUACCAAAUUGAUUCAGUAGGUUUGCAUUAGACUUCAGAUAACACAGAGUCGACAAAAGAUCUAUGCGGACAGACACUGAUCAAACUUGGAAUUUUAGGUUGGUGAUAUGGUACUCCUAAAGGUGUCACCUUGGAAAUGUGUCAUCCACUUCAGGAAGCGGGGUAAGCUAGGCCCCAUGUAUAUUGGUCCUUUUAUGGUUGUAGCCCGGGUGGGCAGGGUGGCAUAUCGUUUAGAUGUUACGGAGGAACUCAGACAGAUUCACAACACUUUCCACCCCUCUCAGCUACGUAAAAGUUUGUUUAAUGAUUCUGUAGUGAUUUCGUUGGAGAAUAUUCAGGUGGAUGACCGCCUGAAAUACAUUGAGAGACCGGUCGCGAUCCUUGACAAGAAGACGCAAACCAUAGGGAACAAGGUUGUAGGAUUGGUAAAGGUGCAUUGGCAGCACGAUAUUGGUUCUGAGUGGACGUGGGUGCCUAAGGAAGAGAUCAGGGAGCAUUACCCAACGUUGUUUGCAGAGGUGGACUUCGAGGACGAAGUCUGAUUCAAGUGGGGCAGAAUUCUAACACCCGACUUGUCAGGUAGAACUCUUAACCAUUUAUCACAUUUAUUUUCCUUGUCUUGGACCCACGUAUGUUGGGCUUACAUAAGGUACGCAUGGCGUACUCCUACGCAUUCAUGAGGCGGGGAGUUUCCCUGGUACGUUGGGCGUACCCAUGCGUACGUAGGGCGUACGUCAACCAUGGGAAAACCCUAAUUUUUAGGGUUGGCACCCUAUUUAAGCACAUUAAGCCCCCAAGUCCUUCACUUUUUCAGCCUCUAUUUCCUCUUGAGCCAUAUCUCGAAACCCUAAUCCAUUUUCGAAGAGAUUGAGCUUGUGUGGGUGUUUUGUGUGUGUGAUGCUUAGUGAAGAAGAAGAAGACUUGUGGAGAAGCUUUGGACAAGAAAGAGCUUGAAGAUCCAAUGUUUAUUCACCAUUUUAAGCUUAUUGGAGGUAUAAAGCUCCUAACUUGAUGAUUUGGUGUAUUAGAUAUACUUUAGGGCUCAUUUUCAUCAUAUAAUGGUCCUUAAAGUGUUUCUUGAGAGUAUAAGCUACUCAAGAAGGUUAUAAUGAUAGAUCUGAGUGUUUUUGAUGUCCCUUGAGCAUAAAAAUGGUGUCUUGAUGGAUUAAGCUCAACAACAUGCAAGGGUUGAAGGUUGUUUCAAGAAGCUAGUAUGAUAAAAUCAAAUAUUUGAUGUUUUUAAGGCAUGAAAAAGCAUAAUGUUUGCAACAUUAUGGAUUAAUACACUUAAAUGAGAUUAGAUCUAAAGUUAAACGUUAGGUCUUAACGAAUUAAGACCUCAAAAGCAACCUAAUGCAAGUUGGGGCGUACAUCAGGCGUAUAUAGGUGUACGCUGCGUGUAUGCACCCGAAAUCCCGAGUAUGUUGGGUGUUUAGAUAGUACGCUUAGCGUACUCACCAGAGGGAUAUUUGGGCUUUUACCUUCAAUCCAACUUGGGCUUUAAGGUUUUUGGCCCUUGUUGGGCCGUAAGUCUUUCUGAGUUGGGCCUUUAUGGAUUUGGGCCCAUAUUAGGCUCGACAUGCUUUUUUGGACUUUUGGGCUAGUUGGAUUGGGCCUUGGUAUAUUAGGCCCAAGAAGGAAGCAUAAAUCAGCCUUUUACCCUUAAACUCGGGAUUUAGGGUUUGGACUCCUGGGAUGGGUUAUUGAUCUAAUUUCUAGUUAGGAUUUUAUUAUUUGUGAAUUAGUGAGAGGAUUCACGAUUCAACAACUCGAGUAUGAUUUGAUAUCUUCAAUAUGAGGCGAACUUCCUCCACUGUACUCAUAGGUAGAAGGCACCACUGUCAGCCCAGUAGAUUAUAUUAGUGGGAUGAUAAUUGUCUUCGUGACAUUUUCAUGCUAUGCCUGUUUAUGCUUGUUGUCUUCGUGACUUCCAUUGGUAUGAUUGUAUGGUUAGAUGUAGGGAUCCAGUACCGAUUGAAAGAUACCAAAGGGGGUGAAACAGACCCAAUACCGGUUGAAAGAUACAGAAGGGGGUUAAAUAGACACAAUACCGGUUGAAAGAUACCGAAUGGGGUGAAAUAUACCCAGUUAUGCUUGAUUGGUAUGUAUGUAUGGUAUGGGGUAUUUUGGGGGAGCUCACUAAGCUUUGUGCUUACAGUUUUCAGUUUAUGUCUCAGGUACUAACAUUUUUUAUGUAUUUUAAACGGUUUAGGUUAGUUUUAGUCACUGAACUUUUUUGAAUGUUUUAUUUUGGUCAUUAUACUUUGUUUAAAGUAUCAUUUUGUCAUUGAACUUGUUUAUUUCCUUUUUUUGGUCAUUCUAAACGGGCAUAUCAGGUAUUUUUAAAUAUUUAUGUAUUUAUGUAUUUAUGAUGUCUUUUAUAUAGUUUUUUAUUGAAUAUUUUUAUGUAUUUUAAAUGUAUAAACAUAUAUUUUUAUACAUAUUUGUAUGUAUUUUUGUAUUUUUUUUUAAAUUUAUUUAUGUAUUUUAACUCCAACUUUCAUUGUAAGAUAACUAUUAGACCUUAUAAACAAAGGAAAGAAGCACUAAAGUACUUCAAAACAAAAAAAAUUCAAAGAUGAACCUUACCAACAACGUAAUUUUUGUAGGUAAACUCUUCCUUCUUUUUUUCAUGAAUUCAACUUUAGAUAAACAAAAUUUACGAAUAUUUUUAUCAUUAACAAGAAUAUUCGUAAACUUUGUUUAUCUACAAAUUCAAUUCAAGAAAAAAUAGAAGAAUUUACCUGCAAAAAUGACUUUUAUUGCUAAUGAUUGAAAAAUGUUUGUUUUGAAGUAAUCUAGUGCUUAUUUUCUUUAUUUACAGGGUUUAAUAGUUAGCUCAUAAUGAAACGUUAAGUAAAAAAAUUAAUAACUACGUAAAAACAUAAAAUACCAAAAUGCUUAAAAGUUCUUAAAAAAAUUAAAAAAUACGUAAAAUAAUACAUUUAUAUAUUUAAAAUACAUAAAAGUAUGUAAAACAAAAUAUAUAAUUUUUUUAAAAAAGUACAUCAUUACAUGAAAAAAUACCAAAAUACAAAAAAGUACGUAAAAUACCUAAAAAUUCAUAUAAUUAUGUAAAAAAAUACGUUUAUACCUUUAAAAUAUAUAAAAAAGUAAAAAAUAUAUAUAAAAAAUUUUAAAAAAAUUAUUAAAAAGGUCAUAAAUAUGUAAAAAUACUUAGAAAAAAUACAUAAAAAUACGUUUAUACGUUUUAAAUUUUUUUUUUUUGAAAAUUUAGGAAUAUAGACACUAAAGUCCCAAUAUUUUCAUCGAUUUGACAAGAAAGUCCUAUACUUUAUUUUUUUGACAGUAAAGUCCAAAUUACCGGCAAUUUUUGACACUUUUACCCUUUUUUCCGGUUAGCCGAUAAUUAGGAGUUUUUUUUCAAAAAAAUAAAAUUUAGGACUUUCUUGUCGAAUCGUCAAUUAGGACUUUACUAUCAACAAAAUAAAGUUUGGGACAUUCUUGUCAAAUCAUUGAAAAUAUUGGGACUUUAGUGUAUUUUCGUAACCCAAGAACUUUUAAUUGUAACUUUUGUUGCAUCAUCACUGUUUUUCUUACCAUCAUCAUUUUUACCCUAACACAAUCACGAUCAGGAGAAACAUAUGGAAAAUAGAGAGCGAGAAAGGGUGAAAAGACUUGUAAAACUUUCUUAUUGCUUCGCCGCCAAAUCUUGAACUAAAAAGUGGGGACAGAUUAUACAAACACGAACAACACAUGCCUAGUCAAAAAGGUGUGAAUGUGGAGAAGGGAAAGAAAGGCAAUUUUGUUUUGAGAUUAAAAAAAACAAUUUAACAAGAAGCAAAAAGUCAAUCGAACCCUGGUUCUUUCUUUCUUUCUUUCUUUCUUUCUUGAUUAUUUCCAUUUUUUUCAAUGUUGGCUUGUUGAGAUUAAAAAAACGAUUUAACAAGAAGCAAACGUUAAAGAUUUCAUGUAACACCCGAUUCCUGGUGCGUAUUUAAAUUCAAGUAAAUUCAUUUUUUUCUUUGGGACUCGGCAAGUUGGAGGCCCAACUCGUCGAGUAGACUCGAUAUUGACCGGGAAUUUUAAUGAUCUACUCGAAGAGUCGGGAGACCGACUCGACGAGUAGAAGUUGUCUGGAUGAAACCCUAAUAUUUAGCAUUUGUACCCUAUUUCAACAACUUAUAAUGCCCCAACCCAACCUCCAUUGUUCCUCCCAACCCAGAGAAAGCCCUAACUCGUACCCUAAGCCUCUUUUGAGUGUUCUUGAGCUUUUUGGUGACUUUUUUGUGCAUUUGAAGUUGGAAGAGAAGAAGGAAGCUUGGGAAUUCAAGUGCAAGCUAGUAGAUCCAGAGGUUUUGCUUCAUUCUCAGUUCAUUCAAGGUAAAAAGCUUGAACCUUGACCAUCUAUCUCUUAGAUCUUAUUUUGGGGCUAUUUUCUACCCUUUUUUAUGAGUUGUGAAGUUAUAGUCAGAUUUUGUGAGUGUCUUUGGAGUUACACUUCAAAUCUGGAACCAUUGAGGGUUUCCAUGGCAUAAAGGUGACAACUUUAUGGCUAUGGGAGAUCCAUGCUUCUUAUAUACCUCUUUUUAUGGCUUUUGAGCCAAAAACCCCCAUGCAUGGACGUCAAGAUUGGAACUUUACGUAUAAAAUAGACCAUAGGAGGUCAGAUCUAUGGUUUGGAUGCAUUUAGACCAAGUAAAAUCAACUGUAUAGUUUCGAACAAAGAUGGACUCGGCGAGUCGUUCAUGGGACUCGGUGAGUCGGGACGUAUUUUCCAUUAAAUCCUUUUUGUUGAUGGACCAGAUGCUAAGAUUGAAGGUCCCUCGGUUGUUUGGGCUUAUUAAGGACCUGGAAGUCAUAGAACUCGGCGAGUGUAUGAGCCGACUCGGCAAGUUCAAGGUAAUGUCCCAACCACAUGAAGAUGGACUCGAUGAGUCAUAGACUAAAUACCUUCAACGGAUGAAGAUAAACUCGACGAGUCGGUUGAAGAAGGACCGAUGUGUUGUUGAAGGCGAACUUGUCGAGCUCUUACUAGAAUCGACGAGUAGGGAUGAGGUUGUAGCUUUUCAUCGAUGGGGGGACACGACGAGUUGGUGAACCAACUCGGUGAUUCUGGUCAACUAGAUGUUGAAUUUGAACAAAGUUGACUUUGACCAAGGUUCUGACCUUGACUUUGUAUUGGACUUAAGUUGACCCUUGUAAGGGUUGUGGGUAUGAGAUGGUAAUUUAGAAAGGAUGUUGUGUAGGGAUUGAGGAGUCGGGAAGAGUCGAUUUUCUCACCGAGGACAGUGCAGACACUACACAACCUUGAGAUGAGUUACCUUUCAGUAGAGUUAGUCUAAGGCACCAAGGCCGACCCACUAGUAGUUGAUCGUAGUUGAGAUGAUUGUAUUUGUGAUAAUUGUCUGGUUUGCUAUUACUUGAUGUGUUCUAUGUGUCAGUAUGAUAUGUUAUAUGUGAUAGUGGUAGUAGGAGGGGAAUAGUCCCCCGGUUCGGUCGUUAGGACCGAAGGGUAGGUCGGACACCCCAAAUAUGUAUGACAGCAUGAGUAUGAUAUAUUGUUAUGUGAUAGUAGUAUGGGUGAAAUAGUCCUCAUGACUGGGUGAGAUAGACCGGAGGGUAGGCAGGCACCCCAGAAUAGCCUAACACGGGGUAUGUUAGCACCCCAGAAUGGCUUGACAUGGGUAGGUCCGUACCCCAGAAUGACUUGACAUGGGUAGAUCGGGCACCCCGAAUUGCUCGAUAGUAUGUAUGAUUGUAUGGCAUGUGGUAUGAUGGGGGAACUCACUCAGCUUCGUGCUUAUAGUUUUUAAUUUUGAUUUCGGGUACCUCUUCAACUAAGGGGAAGGAGUCCGUAGGGUAGUAGCGCAUCACACACACAUGACUUCUGCUUUCAGAACCCUGGGAUUGUACUCUGACAUUUUACUAUUUGAUGUUAUGAUUUUCGAGACUUGUGAUUUGUUACUUGAUGUUUUGAAAUGAUAGCAACGAUGUUUUCCGUAAACUAUUUUUAUAAGUAAUAUAAUUAAACAAAAAAAUUUAGGUCUCGAUUUUGGGAUGUUACAUUUCAAUAGGAUCUAUCUGACUAGAGAAGGUUUUAAUACUCUUAUGCUUAAAGAGUAUCAUACCAUUAAAUUUCUAACAAAAAAAAGGGAUAUAUACACUAAAGUCUCAAUAUUUUCAACGAUUUAACAGAAAGUCCUAAACUUUAUUUUUUGACAGUAAAGUCCUAAUUGACGAUUUGAGAAGAAAGUCCUAAACUUUAUUUUUUGACAGUAAAGUCCUAAUUGACGAUUUGAGAAGAAAGUCCUAAACUUUAUUUUUUUUGACAAAAAAGUCCUAAUUACCGUCUAACCGGAAAAAAAAUGGUAAAAGUGUCAAAAACUGUCGGUAAUUUGGAUUUUACUGUCAAAAAAAAAGUUUCGGACUUUUUUUUUCAAAUCGAUGAAAAAAUUGGGAGUUUAGUGUACAUAUCCCGAAAAUCUAUAGAAAAGUCUCAUUAUUUUUUUAAAAUUAACGAUGUGGUCCCAUGCUGAACAUAUCAAAAGAGGCUAAAAUAAAAAAUAAAAAUAAAAAAAUCAGUUUUUUUGGGCUUUUCUAUAAAAAAAAAAUUGGGAUUUAAUCGUUGAUUUUUUCUCAAAAUCAUGGGAAUUUUCUACAAACUUCCCAUUUAGAUUAGUUACAUUAGUCCCAAAUCAAAUGUAUUGGCUUUCUUUUUUUAGCCUUGUACUCAAAUAUUUACUUUACUAGUUUUGCCAAACUCUCACCAGUUGGCUAUUUUUGCAUUUAGGACAAUUGCAAAUUGUUUUAACUCUUUUGCAUAAAAUGAGCCCUAUACAUUUGCCGUGUUAGAUAUUCAUAGAAUUAAGCCUUUAUCAUUGCUUUUUCAACCACGUGUAUAAUGUACUUAAGGGAUUUAAAGUCUCUUUCAUGAUUGGAGCUCUGUUAUUUUCCCUGUUUUAGAUUAUCAAUUAUGCGCUUUGUGAUAAAAUAUGCAUUUGGUAAAUUUUCAUCUUACUUUUUUAUAGGCAGAUACUAAAUGGACAACCUAGAGUAUAAGAUUAGGUCAUGGGAAAAAAUUACCGUAUGAUUGGCUUGGGUUAUUACCAGAUAUAGAAGGUGUAACUGAAUAAGUAACAUUACAACAUUCUUAAAAAAAAUCUUGUGUCGAGAAUACAUAAAAUAUAUGAAUAAGUAACACUCAACCACAUAAACUUAAAAUAAAAUCACAGCAAGGGAGAGCAGCAGAGUCCAGCAUCCGUAUUAUCAGUUUAAAGAGCAUACAGUAGUUACACACUUAAACAUUCUUGUUUUUCUUUACAGUAAUACAAUAUGGUCUUCUUAUGUUAGUGUUAAGAUUCUUCAACAUGUAAUUCAUAAGAAGCUUGUAUCAAGAGUUAAGAGGAAUAGUAAGUGAAACCUUCUGUAAACGUUUUACAAAACCUGGCCUACUGAAAUAUGUAUUUUAAUUUGGAUUUAUUUGACAUAAAAUGUAUAAGAUUUUUUAUGUUGUGUAAAAUUAAAACUUUUUACAUGUAUUGGAAAUCCAAGUGAUGGAAAAAGUUGCUAAUUUUCAUCUGAAAAGAUAGCUAAUGCAAAUCCGUUGCUAAACUACAGGCAAAACUUGUGCAGCUACAUUUCUAGAAGGAUUGCAAUUUUCAUUGACUUAUUUAUCUACUACAUAAUGACAUAAGAAAACAUAUCCGGAGUAUCAUAACAAGAAGGCAUAUAAAUGCUGAUAUAAGAAAACGUAUCAGUAGUAUCUUAAGAAGAAGCCAUUUAAAUGCUGAUGCAAGAAAACAUAUUGGUAGUAGUAUCUAACAAGUAUUUUAACAAGAAGGCAUUUAAAUGCGGAUAUAAGAAAACAUAUCUGUAGUAUCUUAACAAGAAGGCGUUUAAUUGCAUAAAUAUCAUAGGGUGCAUCAUAGGAAACUACAGAAAAAUAAAGAACAUUGAAAGUACACUAAAUUUUGCCUUCAUCAACAGAUUUGAAACUUGGUGCAUCGUUGGCCUUUCAUGUGGAUUCGAACAUGCUCUUGAGACUCUCAAUACUAACAUAACUUCUUUCUCAACUUGGGAUGAGGGAGGUGGUAUCCGGCUGUCUCCCACAUUUGCUAACACCAGAUGAUCAUCAGAUAAUGUUGGUAAGGAUGUUAUGAGUUCUCCAGGAUGCUUUUCCAUGACCACUUCUAGUGCAACAACUCCAAAGCUAUACACAUCACAUUUCUCAUUUGCCACCAUCGUAUAAGCAAGUUCUACAUCCAAAGAAACAUAAGAAAAAAACAAAAAAGCUAUAUCAAUCUCACAUGAUUCUAACGUAGAUACAUAUUUAUGUAAAUCAUGAAACUUAAAAACAUGUAGAACUACAAUCAAAAGAUUAUGUUACCUGGAGCGAUAUAACCAUAGGUUCCUGCUACUGCGGUCCAGUUUGAUGAGUCUAGCUUUAAAAGCUUGGAUGUGCCAAAAUCAGAAAUGCGUGCCUCAUAAUCAGAAUCAAGAAGGAUGUUGGAUAUGGAAAUGUCUUUAUGCAGUAUAGGCGGUGAACAAUCGUGAUGCAUAUAAGCCAAACCAUUAGCAACGCCCUUUACAAUAUUGACCCUUGUUAACCAAUCCAAUUCUUUUGCUAAUACAUCGCUUUUUAAAAUAGAUCCAAGGCUGCCAUUUUCAUGGUAUUCAUAAAUCAAAAUUGAGUUGCGGGCAUGGGAGCAAUACCCAUAGAGUUUCACUAUGUUUCGGUGCCUUAUGUUCGUUAGUGCCCGUACCUCAUUAAGGAAACCACUAUGAUCAACAUUCUCGGAUGAUGAAUGAAGUUUCUUGACAGCAACCACAUUGUCAGGUUGUAGCUUAGCCAUACCAUAAAUGCCGCUAUCCCGUAAGAUGUGGUCUUGCAAUACCCAAGAUUGGGUCCUUGAGGAAACAAAAGCAUAUGAGGUAGCCUCUACUGCCGUGUAUAAACCCAAACCACCAAACCGAAUGGGUAGGGAAGCAAGUCGCCGCUGUAAGUCGCCAAAGAAGGGGCCACCACAAAACACAAUGUCCUCAAUCGCCUAGCGUAAUUAGUUGUCGAAGAACAACGCUGCCUCCUCCAUGUGAACGGGUUGGCACGUCCUCAGCCCAAAGAAAAGUUUAGCAAUACCCAUACAAGACCAAAGUAGAAGGAGCUCACUCUGCGGGUGUAACGACCCAAUUUUCACAUCCAAAAAUUUCGUUUUUAAAACAUUAGUUUAGAAAAUGUUAAUAGAUAAAGACAUUGUUUGACCAAAAUACAUCACAACAUAAACCAUGUUCAAAAGUCAUGUCAUACAACCAAUCGAAACAUCAGAGUAUAAAUCCCAAGGAAAUCUAGUAAAUGCGGAAACCGAUGUGCGUGCAUGAUGUACCGCUACCGAGCCAGCUCCUUCCCCUUCGAUGAAGAGGUACCUGAAACCAAAACUGUAAACUGUAAGCACAAAGCUUAGUGAGUUCCCCUAUCGUACCACAUACCAUACAAUAUAUAUAUAUAUAUAUAUAUAUAUAUAUAUAUAUAUAUAUAUAUAUAUAGAGAGAGAGAGAGCGAGAGAGNAUUCUGGGGUGCUGACCUACCCAUGUCAAGCUAUUCUGCGGUGCUGACUACCCUUCGGUCAUAACAACCGAACCUCGGGGACUAUUUCACCCCCUACUACUACCAUCACAUAUAUCCUAACACAAACGUAUUAUCAGACAUAUCUGGGGUGUCUGACUACCCUUCGGUCCUAACAACCGAACUCUACUACUAACACAUACCACAUAACAUAUCAGGUAGUAACAAACCUAGAUGAUAUCACAAAGACAAUCAUCUAACAUACAACUCCUACUGGUGGGUCGGCAUUGUGGCCUUAGACCCACCGCUACUGGAAGGUAACUCACCUCGGAGUAGCUGCUGAUCUUUGUGGGAAUAGUCUGACUGCUGCUGCUGCUGUUCCGGAAAUCCUCCGGCUGUAUUCCCACCAAACACUUAGUCAAAAACUGCUAACUGACCUUUGGGUAAUAUGACCAUUUUACCCCUGAUCAUGCCCUAAGUCAAAGUCAGAGUUAACUUCCAGUUGACCCGACUUGCCGAGUUGGCUCGCCAACUCGCCGAGUCCAUGUCCAACGACUGUCCUGAAUUCUGCCUUUACUCGUCAAGUUAGGCGUCGACUCGACGAGUUCUCCUUCCAAACUGAUGUUCAAGUCCUUCAUCCUACUCGCCGAGUUGUAUGNUAUGUGACUUCACGAGUUCAUCUUCAUCCGAUGAACAAGUUAUACUGUGACUCGCAGAGUUGUAUGAACAACUCGCCGAGUCUGAUCUUGAUCUAAGGAGAUUGCCUUGAACUCGCUGAGUCUAGGCAUCGACUCGCCGAGUUCCACUAUGGGUGAGUUUUGGCUUCCAACUCACCGAGUCCCUCCUGGACUCACUACACAACUCGACAUAACAAAAAGGGGACAAACUCGGGGACUCGCGACUGGACUCGCCGAGUCCGCUCCAUGCAAGACCUAAAAAUGCGAUUUUGCUCGAAUCCAAUCCAUGUCAUUCGUAGAUCUGGGCUCCUAGAGCAUGAAUAACGCGUAAAGUUUCCAACUUUACGUGUAAAUAUCCGUCUAUGGGGUUUUUAGGGUUCAAAAUGCACCAAAAGAGUAGAUCUAAGGUUUAUAUGCAAUAUGGGCUCAUAAAGGUAGUGGAUCUGAGCUCCUGGAGCUCAACUAUGCUUGGAUCUAGAGACCAAUCAACUUAUUUCGAAAUAUUAUGCACAUACAAGCUUGGAAAUGAGCCAUGAUGGACUUUAAUGGGGCCANAGGGAGAGAGGGGGAAAGGGGAGCCAUACCUUAGAUAUCACUCUGAAAUUGCUCACAAAUGCUUGACCUCCUCUUCUUCUUCUUGAUCUCCUUCCCUACACACUCCAAUCUCCAAGAGGACACACUAAAUGGCUUCAAAUCCACAAAACAAGGCUUAGAACGAGGUAUAUGGCUCUUAGGGUGAAUAGGGGCUGGCUUGGGGGCGGAAAGGGGGAUUAAAUAGGGUGCAAACCCCUGAAACUUAGGGUUUCAUCCAACAGUGGUGACUCUCCGAGUCCAGGAUAUGGACUCUCCGAGUCGCCAACUUAAACGUGUCCCGGGUCCCGUCCCUACUCGGCGAGUCGGACCUAUGACUCGCCGAGUCCAAGGCUUAAAAAGGAAAAAUACUCAAUUAAUAUUUACAUACCAGCAACCAGGUGCUACAAAUCUCCCCCACUUAUUUUAGACUUCGUCCUCGAAGUCUGCUGCUCAAUCCUAGAACAACUCGGGGUAAUGCUCCAUCAUUUCAUCCACCGGCUCCCAAGUCCACUCUGAACCCUUGCGGUGCUGCCAUUGCACCUUCACUAACUCCACCCUUUUGUUUCUCAAAUCCUUCGACUUCCUGUCGAGGAUUGCGACUGGGUGCUCAAUGUAAUUCAGGCUGUCGUCAACCUGAAUAUCCUCCAACGGCACUACUGCUGAAUCAUCCACUAAGCACUUCCGCAGCUGAGAGACAUGGAAAGUGCUGUGGAUCUGGCUGAGCUCGACCGACAGAUCCAAUCUAUACGCCACCUUGCCCACCCGGGCUACAACCCUGAACGGUCCGAUAAAUCUCGGACCCAAUUUUCCCCACUUCCUGAAUCGAAUGACGCCUUUCCAAGGCGACACCUUCAGGAGAACCAUAUCCCCGACUUGGAACUCCAAGUCGGAUCGACGCUUGUCGGCAUAACUUUUCUGCCGACUCUGAGCAGUCUGAAGCCUGCUCCGAACUUGCUGGAUCCUCUCGGUCGUCUCGAGCACCACCUCGGUGCUCCCCAUGACCCUCUGGCCAACCUCACCCCAGCAUAUCGGGGUUCUGCACCUCCGCCCGUACAACAUCUCGAAUGGGGGACGGUCAAUACUCGCGUGGUAGGUGUUGUUGUAUGAGAACUCAGCCAAGGGAAGAUAGGUAUCCCAGCUACCACCAAAAUCUAACACACAUGCCCGCAUCAUAUCCUCCAAUGUCUGGAUGGUCCGCUCGCUCUGACCAUCCGUUUGCGGGUGAAAGGCGGUGCUAAAAUGCAAACGAGUGACCAAACCGUCAUGAAACUUCUUCCAAAAUCUGGAAGUGAAUCGCACAUCUCGGUCUGAUAUCACUGACACUGGCACCCCGUGUCGCGCUACGAUCUCCCUGAUGUAGAUAUCGGCCAACUUCUCGGCCGAGAUGCUCUCUUGGAUCGGAAUAAAAUGGGCGCUCUUGGUCAAUCGAUCCACGAUGACCCAAAUCGAAUCCACUCCACGCGCGGUCCUGGGAAGCUUCGUGAUAAAAUCCAUCGUGAUAUCUUCCCAUUUCCACAGUGGAAUGUCCAACGGCUGCAUCUUGCCAUGCGGUCUCUGAUGUUCGGCCUUGACCUUCCUGCAGGUCAAGCACCGCUCGACGUACCAUGCCACAUCCCGCUUCAUGCAGGGCCACCAAUAAUCUAGACGAAGAUCCCUAUACAUCUUCGUCGCCCCGGGAUGAAUAGAGAAUCGGGACUUGUGCGCCUCCUCCAUCAAGAUCUGGCGCACGCCUCCGUGAUACGGCACCCACACCCUGCGGUGUAGUGUCAAUAGUCCUCGACUAUCAUAAUCGAAGGAGGAAACCUGAACCACCACACGUUCGCUCUUCUGAUGUUCCUCCUUGAUAGCCUCCUGUUGAGCCUCCCGAAUCUGCUCCAACAGGGGAGUCACCACAGUCAUCCUCAUGCAAAUAUCCCUGAUCGGCGCCGCCUUCCGGUUAAGCGCAUCGGCCACCACAUUGGCCUUUCUCGGGUGGUAAAGGAUCUCACAAUCAUAAUCCUUCACCACGUCCAACCACCGACGCUGCCUCAUGUUCAGAUUCGGCUGAUCCAUGAGGUACCUCAAACUCUUGUGGUCCGUGUAGAUGGUACAUCGAACCCCGUAGAGGUAAUGCCGCCAAAUCUUGAGGGCAAAAACCACCGCCCCCAACUCCAAAUCAUGCGUCGGGUAGUUCGCCUCGUGAGGCUUGAGCUGCCUCGAAGCGUAGGCAAUGACAUGCCCCCUCUGCAUCAGUACCGCGCCCAACCCUGAAAUGGACGCGUCACAAUAAACCACAAAAUCCUCUACGCCGUCUGGCAGGGCUAAGAUCGGCGCCUCACACAAUCUCUGUCUCAGUGCCUCAAAUGUUGCCUGCUGCUCGGGUCCCCACCGAAAGGCCACGACUUUCUUCGUCAACCGUGUCAGGGGUACAACUAUCUUGGAGAAAUCCUGAACGAACCUCCGAUAAUAGGCUGCCAAUCCUAGGAAACUCCGAAUCUCAGAUGGAGACUUCGGAACCUCCUAUCUCAUCACGGCCUCGACCUUGGCCGGAUCGACCAGAAUCCUGUUCUGGUUGACAAGGUGUCCGAGAAAUUGCACCCCGCGCAACCAAAACUCACACUUGGAGAACUUGGCAUACAUGCUCUCCCUCCUCAGGGUCUCCAAAACCUCUCUCAGAUGCUCCUCAUGCUCCUCCUGCGUCUUGGAAUAAACCAAGAUGUCAUCGAUAAAUACUAUCACAGACCGAUCCAACAUCGGUCUGCAUACGCGGUUCAUGAGGUCCAUGAACGCGGCAGGAGCAUUGGUGAGCCCAAAUGGCAUCACCACGAACUCAUAGUGGCCAUAGCGCGUCCGAAACGCGGUCUUCUGCGUAUCCUCCUUCCUGACCCUCAUCUGAUGAUAACCCGAAUGCAAAUCAAUCUUGGAGAACCAAGAUGCUCCCUGAAGCUGAUCAAAGAGAUCAUCAAUCCUCGGGAGUGGGUAACGGUUCUUCACCGUUACCUUAUUCAACUCCCGAUAAUCUAUACACAUCUGGUGUGACCCAUCCUUCUUCUUCACAAACAGAAUCGGGGCUCCCCAGGGUGAAAAACUCGGUCUAAUGAAUCCCUUGUCUAGUAGCUCCUGCAGCUGCGUAGACAACUCCUGCAUCUCGGGAGGAGCCAACCGAUAUGGUGCCUUGGCUAUCGGGGCCGCACCAGGAACGAGGUCAAUCCUGAACUCCACAUGUCGCUCCGGAGGUAUCCCAGGAAGCUCCUCUGGGAAAACAUCUGCGAAAUCUCGCACCACUGGAACCUCGCUCACGGUCACAUUACCCGCCUCCCGGGUAUCCAUCACGUACGCAACAUAUCCUGCGCAUCCCUGCUGAAGGUAACAUGUAGCCCUCGCUGCUGAACAUACAGCGGGUCCACGUUGUGGCCUCUCACCAUGGAUCACUAAAUCUCCCCCACCUGGGGUCCUGACUCGCACUAGUUGCUGCGCGCAAUCUAUCACCGCCCCAUUAGGGCUCAACCAGUCCAUGCCUAUAAUCACCUUGUUCCCACGCAACGGAAUGGAAACCAAAUCCACCAGGUAGCGCUCCUCGAACAAACACAACACGCAGUCCCGAAAUACCAUCGAUGCUCGCACCGAUCGAUCAUCAGCAAUCUCUACUUCCAAAGGGUAAUCCAGCAUGCCCGAAGACUCGAGAAACUUCUUGCUAAGCGCAAGGGACACAAACGAUCGGGAUGCACCCGAGUCGAACAACACCUGAACUGGGAUACCGUUCACAUGGAACGAUCCUAACACAUAUACAUAUACCGGGAACAUAUCAAUAUCAUAACAUCAUAUAAAUAAACGAGAGGGAAAAGAAUCAUACCUGUCACCACAUCGGGUGCUGCGCGUGCCUCCUUGGUGGUCAGCUGGAAUGCUCGGCUCCUCACCACUAGAGCCUCUGCCUUGCCCUGCCGGCCAUCUGUGAUCCGCAGGGUCGCGGGGGCUGGCGCCUUCACCGGCGCUGAAACUGUCAACUGGGGACAAUUGGCCUUCUUGUGGCCCCUCUGGUUACAAUGAAAACACAGCAACUCCGAUGUCUGAAUAACUGCUGCCGGAGCAGUGCAAUCCCUGCUAUGGUGCCCAGUCUUGCCGCACUUGUAGCAGCCUGAUGAUCCCAUCCUGCACGCCUUCUCGUGCGGCCUGUUGCAUUUCCUGCAGCGGCUCGGUCCUGACUAGCCUUUCGGCCUACCAUCUGAUCCCUUGGGCUUCUUCCUUGAAGCCCCUCCUGCCUGACCCUCUUCUGACUUCCGUUUCCGGAUAUGCUCCAAAUCUAUCUCCCUUUCGCUCACCCUGGCAAUCAUGGAGUCCAGGGUGGGGCAAGCCGAAAAACUAACGUGCUCCCGGAUAUCGGCCCGGAGCAUGUCAUGAUAGCGGGUCCUCCUCAUGUCCUCAUCACCCGCAUAUUGGGGCACCAACAGUGCCCUCUCCCAAAACUUGGCGGUGAUCUCCGCCACAGUCUCAAUCGUCUGCCUCAUAUCCAAAAACUCCCUCGCCAGCUGCUGAAGCUCGAUAGCCGGCGCAAACUCUGCCUUGAACCUGGUCAUAAAGUCCGACCAGGUCAUAGCCUCAAUAGCUGAGGCUCCCAAAGAAUCACCCACUGACUCCCACCAAUCUCGAGCUCGGUCUCGUAAACACCCUGCUGCAUACCUCACCUUCGACCCCUCAGGGCAGAAGCUAGUCAACUGCGCAGACUCAAUGUCUGCAAUCCACCGCCUGGCAACAAUGGGGUCCUUCACCCCAUGGAAAUCCAGCGCACCGCUGCCCCUGAAGUCCUUAAAGGACAGCGUGCGAGAUCCCGACUGGCUAAAUGCCAUGUCUCUCCUGAACGCCCUGAGGCGAUCCUCCAUCAACUCGAUGAUCCCUUCCUUGAUCGGCCUGAAGAUGAUGGGGGUCGAAUCAAGGAUACCUCUGGUGAUCUCUGACGCGAUGAACUCGCGUAGCCUCUUAUCUACUGGCUCGGAACCUGAUCCCGAACCCGAUCCCUCUCCUGAACUGCCAAGUGCUGGUCUCGGGCGUAGUACCACCAUUCGGAAAUACAAAGAAAUAACAACUGUUAGCGAUACUGAUACCCCUGGAGGGAUCCCACCCACUACUAGUUCCCUAGUCUUAUCUUAGCCUUCCUCGGUUCGGGUAUGGAUCCUCUGCUUUCAGUAGUACGGGCCCAUACUACCUUCCACAUCUAUCCGUACCUUCCCCAAAGACCGCCUCAACUCGACCAGGUCCCUUCCCCUACUACUGAUCACCACUACUCAUUAUCCUAGGCUUACCCUAGGAAACCUCUAACUCCAACCAUCCCAGAUCUCAGCUGCUGAAGGCCUCUUGGUGAUGCCAAUUAACUAUUACCUGAACACAAUCACAUGCGCUGAGGCUCGGAUAAUCCUUCGAGUAAGGGACUCAUCUCUAUAACGAUUAAGACUCAAACAAGAGCUACGCAAUAGAGUCAAAUCCAACACUCUGAGAUUAUUCAACCCUGAUCAUAGGUGACUUAGACGUAUUCACCUAACAGUUAACUCCCAUCACUUCAAGGCCCACAUAGCACAAAGCAAACAACAUUUNAACAGACUCAAGCCAAAACUGUUCUUAGAACAAGAAACGACACUUAACAUAGGAUGCUAAGCUCAUACUAUCAGGCAUAACCUAAACAGGCUACCCUACUGCUGUCUACUCAGCUCUAGCAUGCAACUCUUUCAUAUACUGAAGCACAUAAAGCAGGCACAUAAGGCAUCACUCCUAGAUCCUUAGUCCUAUUCUAGCAUGCUGUUCUACAGAAACUGAUAAACAUAAAUAAACUUGUAUGGGUACAUUGAGGAAUACUUACUUGAGCUUGGCCAGUUGCGCACAUCACACACAUUAUUCUUUCUUAAAACCCUUUUCUUAACCCUUUUAGAAAACAUUUUCUCUUUCCAAAAUCAUUUAAUCCCUCGAUUUGAGUUCGAACACCGCCAAAGGUGUGUCCGAAUCCCUCAAACCAGGGCUCUGAUACCAACUUGUAACGACCCAAAUUAUUUUUUUUUUUUUUUGAUAUUACUUUAGAAAACAUUAAUAAAUAAAAACAUUGUCUAAAUAAAAAGAAACAUUGUUUGUUCACACCAUAACACAUUGCAACCAUGUUCUCAAAAGCCAAACCGUACAUCCCAUCAAAUAUCAGAGUACAAUCCCAGUAAAUCUCAUAAAUGCGGAAACCGAAGAGUGUGUGUAUGACGUGCCGCUACCGCGCCGGCUCCUUCCCCUUCGAUGCAGAGGUACCUGAAAACAAAACUGUAAACGUAAGCACAAAGCUUAGUGAGUUCCCCCAACGUACCGCAUACCAUACAAACACAUAACAUAUAUACUGCCAGGCUAUUCUGGGGUGCCUGACUACCCGGUACGGCCAUUCUGGGGUGCCGACCUACCCGUGUCAAGCCAUUCUGGGGUGCUGACAUACCCGUGUCAAGCCAUUCUGGGGUGCUGACCUACCCAUGUCAAGCUAUUCUGCGGUGCUGACUACCCUUCGGUCCUAACAACCGAACCUCGGGGACUAUUUCACCCCUACUACUACCAUCACAUAUAUCCUAACACAAACGUAUUAUCAGACAUAUCUGGGGUGUCUGACUACCCUUCGGUCCUAACAACCGAACUCUACUACUAACACAUACCACAUAACAUAUCAGGUAGUAGCAAACCUAGAUGAUAUCACAAAGACAAUCAUCUAACAUACAACCCCUACUGGUGGGACGGCAUUGUGGCCUUAGACCCACCGCUACUGGAAGGUAACUCACCUCGGAGUAGCUGCUGAUCUUUGUGGGAAUAGUCUGACUGCUGCUGCUGCUGCUGUUCCGGAAAUCCUCCGGUUGUAUUCCCACCAAACACUUAGUCAAAAACUGCUAACUGACCUUUGGGUAAUAUAACCAUUUUACCCCUGAUCAUGCCCUAUGUCAAAGUCAGAGUCAACUUCCAGUUGACCCGACUCGCCGAGNGCUAACUCGCCGAGUCCAUGUCCAACGACUGUCCUAAAUUCUGCCUCUACUCGUCGAGUUAGGCGUCGACUCGACGAGUUCUCCUUCCAAACUGAUGUUCAAGUCCUUCAUCCUACUCGUCGAGUUGUAUGAACAACUCGCCAAGUUCAUCUUCAUCCGAUGAACAAGUUACACUGUGACUCGCCGAGUUGUAUGAACAACUCGCCGAGUCUGAUCUUGAUCUAAGGAGAUUGCCUUGAACUUGCCGAGUCUGGGCAUCGACUCGCCGAGUUCCACUAUGGGUGAGUUUUGGCUUCCAACUCACCGAGUCCCUCCUGGACUCACUACACGACUCGACAUAACAAAAAGGGGACAAACCCGGGGACUCGCGACUGGACUCGCCGAGUCAGAUGAGCGACUCGACGAGUCCGCUCCAUGCAAGAGCUAAAAAUGCGAUUUUGCUCGAAUCCAAUCCAUGUCAUUCAUAGAUUUGGGCUCCUAGAGCAUGAAUAACACGUAAAGUUUCCAACUUUACGUGUAAAUAUCCAUCUAUGGGGUUUUUAGGGUUCAAAAUGCACCAAAAGAGUAGAUCUAAGGUUUAUAUGCAAUAUGGGCUCAUAAAGGUAGUGGAUCUGAGCUCCUGGAGCUCAACUAUGCUUGGAUCUAGAGACCAAUCAACUUAUUUCGAAAUAUUAUGCACAUACAAGCUUGGAAAUGAACCAUGAUGGACUUUAAUGGGGCCAUAAGCAUGGAGACAAGGGGGAAAACAAGCCAUACCUUAGAUAUCACUCUGAAAUUGCUCACAAAUGCUUGACCUCCUCAUCUUCUUCUUGAUCUCCUUCCCUACACACUCCAAUCUCCAAGAGGACACACUAAAUGGCUUCAAAUCCACAAAAUAGGGCUUAGAACAAGGUAUAUGGCUCUUAGGGUGAAUGGGGGCUGGCUUGGGGGCGGAAAAAGGGAUUAAAUAGGGUGCAAACCCCUGAAACUUAGGGUUUCAUCCAACAGCGGUGACUCGCCGAGUCCAGGAUAUGGACUCGCCGAGUCGCCAACAUAAACGUGUCCCGGGUCCCGUCCCUACUCGGCGAGUCGGACCUAUGACUCGCCGAGUCCAAGGCUUAAAAAGGAAAAAUAGUCAAUUAAUAUUUACGUACCAGCAACCAGGUGCUACAGCAGGUCAGACAAUUGUGGAAGAAGGCGCAUCAAAUUCACAGCGCCUUCGGCUCUCUUUAUGGCUAACUUGCUAAUUAAACUAGCAUCUCUGCUAAUAGCUCCCCCGAGAAGUUUCACCCCCAAUGGCGGCCUCCCGAUGCCAACCGGGAAUAGCCCCUCAUGCAGCUUCCUUCCAUCACACGAGGGAAAAAAGAGCUCGGUUUUCUUGAUAUUCAACUGAAGGCCCAAUUGUGGGCCAAUAGCCUUAAUGGUGUCUAUGGCUUUGGCCACCUCCUCAGAAUCUCCAAUAAGUGUGCCAUCAUCUAGGUACCAUGCAUGGAGAAGAAGCUUGCAAUUGUCUCUAAUAUUAUGCAGGAGCGGGUGCAACACAAGUGCAAAGAGAAGUGGUCCCAAGGGGUCUCUUUGUUGAACUCCAGUAGAAGACCAAAUAUGUGCAUCCCCUAGAUAUAACCUUGCUGCUUGACCAUAUAGGAAUUCUACCCACAAGGAUAUAGAAGGGCACCUCAAUCUGACCUCAUGAAGUAAUGUGGAUCUGUCAACAAGGUUAAAUGCAUUAGAGAAGUCCACAGUAAGCAUGGAAAGAGACCCGUCAUUGUGGCGUUCACUCAACACCCUAUUGGCACUAUGUAAUACGGCUUCAGCGCCACUCGACACCCCGACCCCAAACUGAAAAUCAUUGAGACACUUGGCCAUUUCUUUACCAACACCUUUCAUAGCCAGCUUGGAAACCAAACAUCUCCAUAUAGUUCCUACUACAAUAGGUCGUAUUCCCUUAUAAGGUUUUAGAAGCGGGUUGAGAGGAGCAGAGGCAACAAAUUCCGCCAAACUUGAAGGCCAUCUCCCCCUAGCCAUAAAUUAAUUACACAUGUGAUAGCACAUAGGAGGUCUUUGGCAAUUGUUGAACCUUCUCCACAAAGAGUAUCUAAGAUGUGUUGAGAUCUCUACCCAUCUCUUCCACACGAGGUUCCUUUAGGGAAUGAUUUAAUUGCCCCAAGGACAUUAUCCAUAUCAACCACAAGGGGAGGUACUGAACAUAUGGUACUCAGCAUGGAUGGUGCUGGCUUGUGUGGAUGCUUAUCCUCCAAUGCCUUCGUGGUAGCAUCCCCAUAUGGAGCAACCCCUAAGGAACAUAAUACUUUCACUGCUGUUGUGAAAUGCCCAUCAGCAACCUUACAGAGACAUUGUCUGACGUUGGUAUAUGACCCCGUUUUCUAUCCUCCUGAAUGUACUCUUCUUUUUUGCCUUGUUGCUCCAUCCUUGCAUUGUCAACAAAGUUUUUAACAAGCUUGGCUAUAUGAUCUUCUAUACCCCAAGUAGCUAAUGCGCUUAAGAUGUUACGAUGUUACAAGGACUUCCUGUUCCUAGACCUACUUUCGUGUCUAUUCUUGGGCCUAAACACCUGAAAAGUACACCUAGGAAGAAUUAACAAUGUAACCCAUGCUUCAAUGGACUCGGGAUAAGCAACAACCUUGGAAAAUGCUGAUUUCAAAGCCUAAGAGAAAGCCAUACAACAAUUAUGAGUGAUGCUUUUGACAGUGGUGAUAGCUAGCUUAAACAUAAGAUCAAGGAGCUGAGUAUCCAACACCAACCCCUCAUUGAGGUUGGCAUCCGGUUCAUUGGGUGGUGGCUUUUGAAUAUCAACAAUAUGUUCUCGCAUGUCAUCAACAUGACCAUUAAAUUUAACAAGACCACCUGAGUACCGAUACGAGCGGCUUAGGUCAUGGAGACUCAUACAAUCCCCACAUAUCCAUUGACCAAACUCCUUCAAUGUUGUUGUCACUGACAUAAACAAUCCAAGGUCUAAAGAAAUAGCAUCUCGCAACACAGCUCUACGCUCAUCCAUAGAAAGGUGCAAACUCUUGAUAUGAGAAAUCAUACAUGAUAUCCCCUUACCACCCACUUCACCGUUCGGGCAACAAUGAAACCCCCUGAAAAGGACACAGCCAAGUUCCGCUCGUAUAUGAAUGACAAGACGCAAUAAACAUAUAAACAAAUCUUACUAAAGCCUCAAGGGGAGGCUUGGAAAGAGAAGCAAAAAUCCAAAGAAAAGAGUGAUACUCCAACAAAAGGUUGGAGUGCACAAUGAAAAACCACCCCAGAAGAGUCUCUACAUCUUUUUGGGUCUUAAUAUGGCUGCAACACUUGUAAAAAGACCUUCAGACAUUUUAUCGAACACCUGGUGAGCAGAAAAAGAAAUGUAGGAUUUGAUCCAAUGAGGCUUGAGAAUUUAACCCAUAUAUAAUCCCCCUUUAGUGAGUAAAAGUUAGUUUUUUUUUUUCAUCUUAAAAAAAUAAAACACCUAAAACCAUAGGUUUUUAGAUGAAACAGUAGAUCAAUUUUAAUCUACUCUUUGGGAAACAGUAGACUUCUCAGAGGAAACAAUAGACUAUUUUUUCCUCUACGGUUUCAUCGUGAAAAUGAAAUAAAAAUCCUUAUAUACUAACCGUAGGUAAAUUGGCGAAACAUUAGACCAUUUUAACCACCUACAGUUUCGAUGGCUAUUUUGAAAUAAGUCCUAAAUUUUGACUAGAAAGUGAGAAGUCAUUAAUUGGUUAGAUUAGUAAUUUUCACUUUAUUUUAAGAUAUUAGUCUUAAAAACUGAGGGCCCAGAAACAUAUAUGUAUUAUAAGGUAUAUAGAUAUACGUAUUUAUUUUACUUGUAUGUAUGUAUGUAUUUUUAAGUAUUUUUGUAUUUUUUAUUUAUUUAUGUAUUUUUAUUCAAACUUUCAUUGUAAGAUAACUACUAGACCGUGUAAACGAAGGAAAAAAAUAUUAGAUUACUCCAAAAAAAAAUUCAAAGACAAUACUUACAAACAACGUAAUUUUUAUAUGUAAAUUCUUCAUUUUUUCUUGAAUUCAGUUUUAGAUGAACAAAAUUUACAAAUAUUUUUGUCAUUAAAAAUAUAUUCGUACACUUUGUUUAUCUAAGAACUGAAUACAAGAAAAAAAAAUAGAAGAAUUUACCUACAAAAAUGACUUUUAUUGCUAAUGAUUGUUUUCAAGUAGCCUUUAUUUUCUUUAUUUACAGGGUCUAUUAGUUAGCUUAUAAUGAAACAAGAAGUAAAAAAAAAAAAUUAUACAUACGUAAAAAAAAAUGUAAUAAAAUCCUUAAAAGUACUUACAAAAAGUUAAAAGAUACAUAUAAAUACGUAAAAAAAAUACAUAAAAGUAUGUAAAACAAACUAUAUAAUUAUUUUAAAAGUACAUAAUUACAUGAAAAAUAUAUCAAAAUACAUAAAAGUACGUAAAAAUACUUAAAAAUUCAUAUAAUUAUGUAAAAGAAAUAUGUUUAUACCGUUAAAAUAUAUAUAAAAAAAAAAAAAAAAAAAAAAAAAAAAAAAAAAAAAAAAAAAAACUUAAAAAUAUAUAUGUAAAAAAUGAAAAAAAAUAAAUUUUCAGAAAUACGUAAAAAUACUUAAAAAAUAAAUAUAAAUACCUAAAAAAUACGUUUAUACAUUUUAUAAUUUUUUUUAGAAAAUCUAUAAAAGGUAUCAUUAUUUUGGGAAAAAUUAACGCUGUGGUCCCAUUACUGAACAUGUCAAAAGAGCCUAAAAUAAAGAUAUUUGUCAGCUUCUUUGGUGGUUCGAUAAAAAAAUUUGGGACUUAAUCGUUGAUUUUCUCAAAAUCAUGAGAAUUAUCUAUAGAUUUCCCUUUUAAUUUGGUUACAUUAGUCCCAAAUCAAAUAUAUUGGCUUUCUUUAUACGCCUUGUACUCAAAUAUUUACUUUACUAGUUUUGCCAAACUCUCACUAGUUGGCUAUUUUUGCAUUUAGGUCAAUCACAAAUUGUUUCAACUCUUUUGCGUAAACUGAGCACAGGACAUGUGCCAGUGUUUGAUUUUCAUAGAAAUAAGCCUUUAUCAUUGCUUUUUCAACCACAUGUAUAAUGUACUGAAGGGAUUUAAAGUCUCUUUCAUGCUUGAAACUCUGUUAUUUUCCCUGUAUUAGAUCAUCAAUAUGCGUGUUGUGAUAAAAUUUUCAUUUGGCUAAUUUUCAUCUUCCUUUUUUAUAGGCAGAUACUAAACCUACAGUAUAAGAUUAGGUCAUCCGAAAAAUAUUACCGUAUGAUUGGCUUGGGUUAUUACAAGAUACAGAAGAUGUACGAAUAAGUAACACUACAACAUUCUUAAAAAAAAUCUUGUGUUGAGAAUACAUAAAAUAUAUGAAUAAGUAACACUCAAUCACAUAAACUGAAAAUAAAAUCACAUCAAGGGAAAGCAGCAGAGUCCAGCAUCCCUAUUAUCAGUUUAAAGAGCAUACAGUAGUUACACACUUAACAAUGUUCUUGUUUUCUUUUUUCUUUUUUUUUUUUUACAGUAAUACAAUACGGUCUUCUUUAUGUUAGUGUUAAGAUUCUUCAACAUGUAAGUCAUAAGAAGCUCGUAUUAAGAGUUAACAGGAAUUGUAAUUGAAACCUUCUGUAUAUGUUUUGCAACACCUGGCCUACUGAAAUAUGUAUUUGAAUUUGGAUUUGUCUGACAUAAAAUGCAUAAUAUUUUUUAGAGAAAAUUACACGGAUGGUCCCUGUGGUUAGGGGUUACUUGCACGCUUGGUCCCUAGAAAGUAUUUUUAACUCGGACCGUCCCUAAAACUUAGAUUUGUUACCCGCCCAGUCCCUAAACUAACUAGCCGUCUAUUUUGCUGUUAAACCAUGAUGAAAAGACAUAUUUACCCUUACUUUUAUAUGUUUAUAAUUAUUCUUGAAAAUGAAAAAUAUUCCACCCCAAAAUAUACCCCACAGACCCACACUCCAUAACCUAAAAUUGAUCGGCGUCGUAUCCUCCUCUCAGCACCUCCCUUCCACCUACUGUUACCGGCUGCCAGAGACUCUCCGUAACUGGCCAUAUCAUCACCACCAAAACUCCCCUCCUACUGCCCUAUCCCCAAUCUCGUCACCAUCUUCACAUCAGCCUUUCAAAUAAUUAACCAAUUAUUAGCCGAAAAGGAUUAUUAAACUAGAUUUAUCAAGAUUUGAUGGCUUACAAGUUACAGCUUACCUGAGAAGCAGUGAUACCCUGAGUUUCAUGUAAUGAACCACCUUCAAUAACUUUGUUUUCAUGUAACAUCUCGAUUUCCUCGAUAGGCCAUUGUAGGAGCUGCUUCUGGUUUUUGUCUAGCCAAAUACUCCUCAGAAAUGACUGCAUGUAUAGGUGAGUUAAUGAUCUUAUAUAUAAUUAAGGAGAUAAGUGAAAUUAUUGAAUCUUUGAUUACUUGAACUCCGACCCAUCCUUUAGCGAUGACAGCAGCUUCAGAAUCAGUCUCGUGCACCCAACCCAUAAUUAUCCUUCGCUUUUUCACAGGAUCGAAGAACGAUUUGGAAGUGUAGUACCUCCCAUAAUCAAGCCUUAAACUGCCGAGUGUUAGUAAUCUCCGUUUCCCCUUCGUGCUAGGGUUUAUGACAGAUGUAUCGACCCCAUUCGUGCUAUCAACCCACACCGGAAAGAAAUCAGGGCAUUCCCAUAUUCCUGUUCUUAGAAAUUGAUGAAGUGGGGAAUCAUGUUUACUCCAAUUAACAAGAUCGUCGGGUCUCUGAAGUCACCCGGUUGAGAUAUGGAUUGCCGACAUGUUUACUCCAAUCAUGUUUACUCCAUUUUUUGAGAUAUGGAUCGGAUAAGUCCUUUAGAACGGCCAAAUUCUGGACUUGGCUGUUUUCUGAGUCGAUUCCGAUGUAUAGCAUAAUAGGCUUGUUUCCGGGGAGGAUGGUGACGGAGUCAAACCAUCAGCCAUUGAUGUGGAAGGGAAGAAGUGAGAAGAAGAAAUCGAGAAAAACAAUGAACGAGGUGGGUUUUAGAGACUUGAAAUGGUGAAAUGACAAAAAUACCCCCAUUAUGUGGGUUACUAACACCUAAACAAACGGAAAUAUUAUGAGAGGGACUGGGCGGGUAACAAAUCUAAGUUUUAGGGACGGUCCGAGUUAAAAAAACUUUCUAGGGACCAAGCGUGCAAGUGACCACAAAUCAUAGGGACCAUCCGUGUAAUUUUCUCUAUUUUUUAUGUUGUGAAAAUUUAAUUUACCAAUGUUAUUUUGCUACUUUUUACAUGUAUUGGAAAUCCAAGUGAUGGAAAAAGUUGCUAAAUUUCACCUGAAAAGAUAACUAAUACAAAUCCGUUGCUAAACUACAGUCAAAACUUGUGCAGCUACAUUUCUAGAAGGAUUGCAAUUUUCAUUGACUUAUUUAUCUACUACAUAAUGACAUAAGAAAACAUAUCCGGAGUAUCAUAACAAGAAGGAAUGUUAAUGCUGAUAUAAGAAAACGUAUCAGUAGUAUCUUAACAAGAAGGCAUCUAAUUGCAUAAAUAUCAUAGGGUGCAUCAUAGUAAACUACAAAAAAAAUAAAGAAUAUUGAAAGUACACUAUAUUAGGCCUUCAUCAACAGAUUUGAAACUUGGUGCAUUGUUGGCCUUUCAUGUGGAUUGGAGUUCAAACAUGCUCUGGAGACUCUCAAUACUAACAUAACAUCUUUCUCAACUUGGGAUGAAGGAGGUGGUAUCCGACUGUCUCCCACAUUUGCUAACACCAGAUGAUCAUCUGAUAAUGUUGGUAAAGAUGUUAUGAGUUCCCCAGGAUGCUUUCCCAUGACCACUUCUAGUGCAACAACUCCAAAGCUAUACACAUCACAUUUCUCAUUUGCCACCAUCGUAUAAGCAAGCUCUACAUCCAAAAAAACAUAAGAAAAAAACAAAAAAGCUAUAUCAACCUCACAUGAUUCUAACGUAGAUACAUAUUUAUGUACAUCGUGAAACUUAAGAAUAUGUAGAACUACAAUCACAAGAUUAUGUUACCUGGAGCGAUAUAACCAUAGGUUCCUGCUACUGCAGUCCAGUUUGAUGAGUCUAGCUUUAAAAGCUUGGAUGUGCCAAAAUCAGAAAUGCGUGCCUCAUAAUCAGAAUCGAGAAGGAUGUUGGAUAUGGAAAUGUCUCUAUGCACUAUAGGCGGUGAACAAUCGUGAUGCAUAUAAGCCAAACCAUUAGCAACGCCCUUUACAAUAUUGACCCUUGUUAACCAAUCCAAUUCUUUUGCUAAUACAUCACUUUUUAAUAUUGAUCCAAGGCUGCCAUUUUCAAGGUAUUCAUAAAUCAAAAUUGAGUUGCGGGCAUGGGAGCAAUAUCCAUAAAGUUUCACUAUGUUUCGGUGCCUUAUGUUCGUUAAUGCCCGUACCUCAUUAAGGAAACCACUAUGAUCAACAUUCUCGGAUGAUGAAUGAAGUUUCUUGACAGCAACCACAUUGUCAGGUUGUAGCUUAGCCUUGUAAACAAUACCGUAUCCUCCGGUCCCUAUACAGUAGUCUUCAUUGAAAUCAUUUGUUGCCUUCAAGAUAUCAUCAUACACUACUUUACCGUCAAAACUUGUAAUAUGGAAAUAAUCACCACUUUCUUCUUCCAAUGGUUUACGUGGAGACUUUUUCCAUCGUUGUCGAUAAGCAAUGAGGCCAUACGUGAAUAAACAAAGUAAAACUACCCCUAUAAGGGGGAGCAUGAUUACAAGGAUGAGCUUCUGACGAAAGGGAUCGUUUUUCUUCUUCGUAAUUUGACUUGUACAAAGUUUCACUCCCGUAACAUUUCCACACAAACCUGGAUUACCUUGGACGGACGCAUUCAACAAGUUGGGGCUCGGUGGAACCGGACCUGUGAGCUCAUUGUAAGACAGGUCGAUAUCAAUUCCGCCAUGCAAAUUUGUAAAAGUAUUAGGAAUAGAACCAGAUAGUCUAUUGUGGGAAAGAUCCAAUUUCUGCAAAGUUUGUAAACUUUGAACUUCAGAUGGUAUCUCUUGUGUGAACAAAUUCCGAGAUAAAUCAAGUUUCUCAAGAUGAACUAAUUUACCAAUCUCGGACGGGAUUUUUCCACCGAGCUUGUUAUUACUAAGAUUCAUGUAAUUGAUUUGUGCCCAUUGACCAAUACUUCUUGUUAUCGACCCAUUCAAUCUGUUUGUGGACAGAUCUAGUACAAGGAGUUCAUGGAAUGAUCCAAGCUCCAGAGGUAUAAUGCCUGAAAGUUGGUUAUUAGACAAGUACAAAUUCAGCAUACUUUUCAUCUUCCCAAAUUCCUUAGGGAUUUCACCUACCAACUGAUUAGAAGAAAGAUCAAGCCUUUGUAAUCGCGUUGAAUUUGCAAACUCUGGUGGUAUGCUACCUCUAAGUUUAUUGUUGCUAAUGUCAAGAUCAGUGAGAGACUUCAAAUUUCCAAGUCCAGUAGGAAUGGGACCAGAUAAUCUAUUCACAUCUAGGUACAGAAUCUGUAGGUUACUCAGGUUUGAUAGAGAUAAAGGAAUAGAACCACUAAGUUGAUUCUUACUUAUUACAAGAUCAGUGAGAGACUUCAAAUUCCCAAGUUCAUUAGGAAUGAGACCAGAAAAAUUAUUCCUUUGUAGGAACAUACACUCUAGGUUACUGAGGUUUUCUAGGGAGGAAGGAAUAGAACCAUUUAGUAGAUUUUGGCUCACUUGGAAAUUAGUGAGAGCCUUCAAAUUCCCAAGUUCAAUAGGAAUUGGACCAGAUAAUUCAUUUUGAUCAAGGAACAGAAAUUGUAGGUUGCUCAGAUUUCCAAUUGAUGAAGGAAUAGAACCACUAAGUGUAUUGUUGCUUACCAGAAGCCUAGUGAGAGACUUCAAUUUCCCAAGUUCAAUAGGAAUUGGACCAGAUAACUUAUUAUGAGCCACGUUAAGACGAUUUAGGUUGCUCAGGUUUGCUAGUGAUGAAGGAAUGUAACCACUAAGUUGAUUCAUGGCCAUCACCAGAAUAGUGAGAGAUUUCAAAUUCCCAAGUUCAUUAGGAAUGGGACCAAAUAAAUUGUUCUCAGCUACGUACAGAGAUUGUAGGUUGCUCAGAUUUCCUAGUGAUGAAGGAAUGAGACCAGAGAGCUGAUUUUGGUACAAAGAAAGGACAUUUAAAGAUGUCAAAGCACCCAAUGAUGAAGGAAUUGAGCUAGAUAGAUUGUUUGAGUAUAAGUAUAGGAACUCAAGUGAGACCAUGCUUCCAAUUUCAGGUGGGAUUUCACCAGAAAACUGAUUCUGUGAAAAAUCAAGAUAGAUAAGUUUGGAGAGGAGUCGGAUUUGUGGUGGGAUAGGGCCAAAGAAGCUG